UUUCUUUCUUUUUGUUCUGCAUCCAAUUCCUUGCAAAUCCUUGUGAGAUCUUAAGUGCCUAGUGAGCUGAGGUGACAAGUGUUUUACUGUGAUGAACUCGGUCACACCGGUUUGUUUUCUUCGGCCCAACCGAAUUCUCGGUGCCACCGAAGCACACAACUCGGUGCUACCGAUUUCACUACAGGAAAGACAACUUGCCAUUUAUUUCUGCAGUCUUUUUGCUCCAGCUCCACUCAAUGACUCUUGUUCUCUACCAGCAUCACAGUCGCUUUGCUUUGUGACUCAAGGACCAAACCCUUUUGCAAUAAAACAAAAAUCCAGAAGAUCCCUUCUUGGAAAUUGAUGUCAAAGGGGGAGAGAGGGAUCACAUCAAAGCUCUAUGCUUAAUCAUUUCUGUAGGGGGAGAGGAUACUCAGGGGGAGUAUGUGUCAACAUAUUUCUUGCUGGACUAAUGUUUCUACCUAGUAUGUUUCAGAUAAGUUCAACAAUGGAGUGGCAUGGACUAGGGGAUGUGGAACCCCUUCAAUAUGCUAAGGACAAAGGAUUGGCUCAAGCUCAAAGCUCGGGACUCUACAUUUUCUAUUUUAGUGAUCGAAGAUCACAUUGAGUCCAUAGGGAAGCCAAUACUAUUAAGAAGGGAUGCGGUGUUGCUUAAUGGCUUGCUUGCUCAAUGUGCUUAGUGAUAUGCUCCAAAGCCCUCAACCACUUCCUCACUUCCAAAUAUGUCUCAAACCAAAAGUCAAUCUCGGCCCCACCGAUUCUUUCUAUCCGGCGCCACCGAGUUCACUUGACAUAGCCACUGCCACAAACCCUAGUCUUUUCGGUCUCACCGAUAGGGAUCUCGGUCCCACCGAGAUGGGAUUGCAAACUCUCUGUUGCCUAUUGCAAUAAUCUCGGUCUCACCGAGAUAUGCAAUCGGUCCCACCGAGUUCGCAAUGCAAACUCUCUGUCACCCCUUCGUAACGUUUCGGUCUAACCGAGAUGAGCGAAUCGGUCCCACCGAGUUUGCCUGACCAACUCUCUGUUUGACUAUUACCAAAAUCGGCCCUACCGAGUUUGUGUAAUCGGUCUCACCGAGAUUACAUUAUGCCCUAACCCUAAUGAUAUCGCUCCCACCCAGUUGACAUGUCGGUCCCACCGAAACACCUAACGGUCACAUUAGGAACCAAAUCGGUCUGACCGAGUUCUCUGAAUCGGUCCCACUGAGUUUGGUGAUUUGUGUGUAACGGUUAGAUUUUGUGUGGAGGUUAUAAAUACCCCUCCACCCCCUCUUCAUUCGUGGAGAGAGCCAUCAGAACAUGCCUACACUUCCAAUACAUAUUUUCUGAGAGAGAACCACCUACAGUUGUGUUGAGGUCAAGAUAUUCCAUUCCAACCACAUAAAUCUUGAUCUCUAGCCCUCUCCAAGUUGCUUUCCACUCAAAUCUUCUUUCUACCAAAUCCAAUCCUAUGAGAGAGAGUUGAGUGUUGGGGAGACUAUCUUUUGAAGCACAAGAGUAAGGGAGUUCAUCAUCAACACACCAUUUGUUACUUCUUAGAGAGUGGUGUCUCCUAGAUUGGCUAGGUGUCGCUUGGGAGCCUCCGACAAGAUUGUGGAGUUGAACCAAGGAGUUUGUAAGGGCAAGGAGAUCGCCUACUACGUGAAGAUCUACCCUAGUGAGGUAAGUCCUUCGUGGGUGACGGCCAUGGUGGGAUAGACAAGGUUGCUUCUUCGUGGACCCUUCGUGGGUGGAGCCCUCCGUGGACUCGCGCAAGGAUUACCCUUCGUGGGUUGAAGUCUCCAUCAACGUGGAUGUACGAUAGCACCACCUAUCGGAACCACGGAUAAAAAAUCUCCGUGUCUCCAAAUUGUGUUUGCACACUCCAAUCCCUUCUCUUAACAUUCUUGCAACUUUAAUGCUUUACUUUCCGCUGCUCAUAUACUCUUUGUAUGCUUGCAUGAUUGCUUGAUAUGUAUUGUGAAUGUUUAAACUUGUGCUAAUACUCCACUUCAACUUAAGAGAAUUAAAAACUGCAACUUUUCUUGAUUAGAGUCUAUUCACCCCCCUCUAGACACCUCUUCUCGAUCCUUUCACAUUUUAAUAGAGGUGUUGUGAUCAGCACUACUGGUUGGAAUAGCUUCUACCCAUUUAGUAACAUAAUCAACAGCAACCAAAAUAUGUGUAUACCCAUUAGAGGAAGGAAAAGGUCCCAUGUAAUCAAAUCCCCAAACAUCAAAUGGUUCAACAGCAAGUGAAUAAUUCAUAGGCAUUUCUUGACGCUUACCGAUAUUACCUAUUCUUUGACAUUCAUCACAAGAUAAGACAAACUGACGGGCAUCCUUGAAGAGAGUAGGCCAAUAAAAUCCAGAUUGCAAUACCUUGUGAGCAGUUCUGUCUCCAGCAUCAUCCCCUCCAUAAGCUUCGGAGUGACAUUUCCGUAGGAUUUGUCCCUGUUCAUGCUCAGGUACACAACGUCUAAUAAUACCAUCUACUCCUUCUUUAUAAAGAUGUGGGUCAUCCCAAAAGUAAUGUCUUAAGUCAUAGAAGAAUUUUUUAUUUUGUUGGUAUGUAAAGCUAGGUGGUAAAUAUUUAAAACAAUGUAAUUAGCAUAAUGAGCAUACCAAGGAGUAUUAUUAGAAACAUUUAUUGCAGCUAACUGCUCAUCAGGGAAACUAUCAUCAAUAGGUAGUGGGUCAUCAAGCACAUUUUCAAGCCUAGACAAGUUAUCAGCUACUGGGUUCUCAGCUCCUUUCCUAUCAGUAAUAUGUAAAUCAAAGUCUUGUAGCAAGAGAACCCAUCGAAUAAGUCUAGGUUUAGCAUCUUUCUUUUCCAUAAGAUAUUGAAUAGCAGCAUGGUCGGUGUGAACGAUAACUUUAGAGUCAACAAUGUAAGAUCUUAAUUUAUCACAAGCAACACCACUGCUAAGAAUUCUUUUUUAGUAGUAGCAUAAUUUCUUUGAGCACUGUCUAGAGUUUUACUAGCAUAAUGAAUAACAUUCAGUUUCUUAUCAACUAUUUGUCCUAGAACAGCACCAACAGCAUAAUCACUAGCAUCACACAUUAUUUCAAGAGGCAAGUUCCAAUCGGGUGGUUGAACAAUAGGUGCAGAAACUAAGGCUUUCUUGAGUGUUUUGAAGGCUUCUAAACAAUCAUCAUCAAAAACAAAAGGAACAUCCUUUUGCAAAAUAUUUGUAAGAGGCCUAGAAAUUUUAGAGAAGUCUUUGAUAAAUCUCCUAUAGAAAAGCAUGACCUAGGAAACUAGGAAUACCUUUGAUAUCUUUAGGACACGGGAUUUUCUCAAUUGCAUCAACCUUAGCUUUGUCCAGUUCAAUACCUCUUUCAGAAAUUUUAUGGCCCAAAGCAAUACCUUCAUUAACCAUAAAGUGGCACUUCUCCCAAUUCAAGACGAGAUUUGUUUGCUCGCAUCUCUGCAAAACUCGAUCAAGAUUGCUCAAACAAUCAUCAAAAGACUUCCCAUAAACAGAGAAGUCAUCCAUGAAAACCUCAACAAUAUUUUCACAAAAGUCAGAGAAUAUAGCAGUCAUACAUCUUUGAAAUGUAGCAGGUGCAUUGCAUAAACCGAAAGGCAUACGUCUAUAAGAAUAAGUUUCAAAGGGACAAGUGAAAGUGGUCUUUUCUUGAUCAGGUUGAGAAACAGGUAUUUGUGAAAAACCAGAAUACCCAUCAAGGAAGCAAAAGUAUGUGUGCUUAGAUAAUCUUUCUAGCAUUUGAUCAAUAAAAGGCAGAGAGUAAUGAUCUUUUCUAGUUGCUUUGUUUAAUUUUCUAAAAUCAAUUACCAUUCUAUAGCCUUUAACAAUUCUUUGUGGAAUAAGUUCAUUCUUAUCAUUAGGAACAACAGUAAUACCUCCUUUCUUAGGAACACAAUGGACAGGACUUGCCCAUCUACUAUCAGCUAUAGGAUAGAUUAUACCUGCUUCCAGAAGUUUUAAUAUCUCCGUUCUUACCACUUCUUUCAUCUUUGGAUUUAGCCGACGUUGGUGAUCAACAACGGGUUUAGCAUCAGGUUCCAUAUUAAUCUUGUGCUGACAUAGAGUGGGACUAAUGCCCUUUAAAUCAUCAAGAGUAUAUCCAAUAGCAGCUUGGUGCUUCCUUAGAACUUUCAAUAAUCUUUCUUCUUCAUGUUCUGAAAUGUUAGCACUAAUAAUAACAUGAUAUAUCUUAUUUUCAUCAAGAUAAGCAUAUUCAAAGUGUAGCAAUUGUUUUAAUUCAAACACAUGAUAACCUUUAGGUGGAGGAGGACCUCCUAGAGUUUCUAUAGGCAAAUUGUGUUUAAGCAGAGGAUGUUGUUCAAAGAAAAUCUUCUCUAUUUCAUUUCUUUCAUGCAUAUGUAAAUCAUUUUCAUGGUAUAACAAAUAUUGUUCUAAAGGAUCAAUAGGAGGCACAACAAUAGAAGCAAGACCAAUUAUUUCAUCCUUACUAGGCAAUUCUUUUUCAUGAAGCUUUCUACUAAACUUGGAAAAAUUAAACUCAUGAGACUCAUCACCAAAACUGACACCGAUAGUUUAUUUCUUACAAUCUAUUUGAGCAUUAACGGUGUUCAAGAAAGGUCUACCAAAGAUAAUGGGACGGAAGUCAUCUUGUGGGGAACCAAGAACAAUAAAAUCAGUAGGGUAUUUUAUUUUCCCACACAAGACUUCAACAUCUCUAACAACCCCAAUUGGUGAAAUAGUAUCUCUAUUAGCAAGUUUAAUAGUAACAUCUAUGUCUUCUAUCUCUGCGGGUGCUAUGUCAUUCAUAAUUUCUUGAUAUAAGGUGUAAGGAAUAACACUUACGCUAGCACCUAUGUCACAUAAACCAUGAUAACAGUUAUAUCCUAUUUUAACUAAGACAACGGGCAUGCCAACAACGGGUCUAUGAUUAUCUGUUUUAUCGGGUUUGACAAUUCUAGUAGCUUCAUUAUAGAAGUAAAUAACAUGCCCAUCUAUAUCUUCUUCCAAGAGAUCUUUAACCAUAGCAACAAUAGGCUCUACUUUAAUUUGUUCAUCUGGUUUAGGUGUUCUAAUAUAACUUUUGUUGACCACAGUCGAUACUUUAGCAUGUUCCUUUAUCCUAACAGGGAAAGGUGGUUUCUCAAUAUAAGCAGUAGGAACAACUGGAUCAACAUUAUAAAGUAUAAUUUCCUCUUUAACUGGUACCGGUUCUUUAAUUUCUUCUUUAAUAGGUGGGUGAUAUUUAAACCACUUCUCUUUAGGGAGAUCAACAUGAGUAUCAAAUGAUUCACAAAACGAUGCUACUAUCUCAGAGUCAAGUCCAUAUUUAGUGCUAAACUUUUGAAAAGCAUCGGUAGUCAUAAAAGAUUUAACACAAUCAUACUUAAGCUUAAUACUGACUCUUUACCUUCGCCGAGUUCCCAAUCUUCAGAGUUGCAUUUAUUCUUUCCAAAAGAUCCCACCGGAAUUCAAUAGUCUUCUUCAUAAAAGAACCAGCACAAGAAGUAUCAAGCAUGUAUCGAUCAUUGUGAGAAAGCCGAGCGUAAAAAUUCUGGAUAAUAAUUUCUCUUGAGAGCUCAUGAUUGGGGCAUGAAUAUAACAUUGAUUUAAGCCUCCCCCAAGCUAGAGCGAUACUUUCUCCUUCACGAGGCCAAAAAUUAUAUAUGUAAUUCCGAUCACGGUGAACUAGAUGCAGGAUAAUUUUUUUCGUGAAACUCCAAUUUCAAUCGAUUCCAAUUCCAAGCUCCAAUAUCAUCACAUAGCCUAUACCAUGUCAAUGCUUUUCCCUUAAAAGAUAAAGGGAAAACCUUCGUCAUAACUUCAUCUCCGGGUAAACCUGUAAGCUUAAACAAUCCACAAAUUUGUUCCACAUAUAUCAAGUGCAUAUCAGGAUGUUCGGUUCCGUCUCCUGCAUAAGGAUUAGCUAGAAGUUGUUCUAUCAUACCUGAAGGAAUUUCAUAUUCAAUAUUUUUAGUAGGUGCAGUAGGUUGAGGGGUAGCUAAUUGUGGUUCUGGUCGAGGUGAAGAUACCCUGAACAAACACCUCAAAGGAUUGUUUUCCAUAGUAACAAGUGACAAUAAUUUCAGCACGUUAUAUAAAUGUUUCCUUACAAAAUUCCACUUACCAAAGGCGCUUCACUCCCCGGCAACGGUGCCAGAAAAUAGGCUUGAUGACCCAAAAGUAUAGGGGAUCAAUUGUAGCUCUUUUCGUUAAGUAAGAGUGUUGAUCCCAACGAGGAGCAGAAGGAAAUGACAAGUGGUUUUCAGCAAGGUAAUGUCUGCAAGUCCUGAAAUUGUAAGUAACAGAGUAGUUUGAUAGCAAGAUAAUUUGUAACGAGAAAGUGAUGACAACAGUAACAAAAGUGCAGCAAUAUUGCCCAAUCCUUUUGAGGCAAAGGACAGGCAAAAACGGUCUCUUAUAAUAAGCAAAGCGUUCUUGAGGGUACACGGGAAUUUCAUCUGGUCACUUUCAUCAUGUUGAUUCGAUUUGUGUUUGCUACUUUGAUAAUUUGGUAUGUGGGUGGAUCGGUGCUUAGGUGCUGUUCUUACUUGAACAAACCUCCUACUUAUGAUUAACCCCCUCGCAAGUAUCCGCAACUACGAGAAAAGUAUUAAGAAUAAAUUCUAACCAUAGCAUUAAACUUUUGGAUCCAAUCGGCCCCCUACGGAAUAGCGCAUAAACUAGGGUUUAAGCUUUUGUCACUCUCGCAACCCAUCAUCUAAUAACUACUCCACAAUGCAUUCCCUUAGGCCCAGAUAUGAAGUGUCAUGUAGUCGACGUUCACAUGACACCACUAAGGGAAUCACAACAUACAUACUAUCAAAAUAUCGAACACAUAUCAAGUUCACAUGAGUACUUGCAACAUGAUUUUUCCCGUGACCUCAAGAACAAAGGUUACUACUCACAAGUGAUAAACAUGCUCAAGAUCAGAGGGGUAUUAAAUAGCAUAUUGGAUCUGAACAUAUAAUCUUCCACCAAAUAAACCAUAUAGUAAUCAACUACAAGAUGUAAUCAACACUACCCGUCACCCACAAGCACCAAUCUAUAGUUCGGGUACAAAGAUUGAACACAAGAGAUGAACUAGGGUUUGAGAGGAGAUGGUGUUAUUGAACAUGUUGAUGGAGAUUGCCCUCCCCAAGAUGGGAGAGUUGUUGGUGAUGAUGAUGACGAUGAUUUCCCCCUCCGGGAGGGAAGUUCCCCCGGCGGAAUCGCUUCGCCGGAGGGCAAAAGUGCUCCUGCCCAAGUUCCGCCUCGAGGCGGCGGCGCUCCAUCCCGAAAGACCUCUCCUUAUUUUUUUGUAGGUCAAAAUGACUUAUAUGCUAGAAGAUGGGCACCGGAGGUGGGCCUGGUUGAGCACAGCCCACCAGGGCGCGCCUGGGCUCCCUAGUGUGCCCAGGUGGGUUAUGCCCACCUGGUGGGCCCCCUCCGGUACUUAUUUGCUCUAAUAUUCUUCAUAUAUUCCAUAAAAAUUCUGUGUAAAGUUUCAGCUUGUUUGGAGUUGUGCAGAAUAGGUAGCCUGACUUAGCUUUUCCAGGUCCAUAUUUCUAGCUGCCGAAAUUCUCCCUCUUUGUGUGUACCUUGCAUAUUAUGAGAGAAAAGGCAUUAGAAAUAUUCCAAAAGCAUUAUUAUGCAUAAAUAACAGUAUGAAAACAUGAUGUAAAAUGGACGUAUCAAAGGUUAACUCAUAAGAGUUUUGGAAAAACAACAUUGUGGUUGCCAAAUUGGAAUACUUGUGACAUAAGGUUUCACAUGCAAGUUUCAAAGUAUUAAGGUUCAUCACAUAAGGAGUAUGUGGUGUCAAGUCGUGGUUGUGAGAUCCAUUCAAACAGAAUUUCAACAAGAGAGUCAAGGUCUAUGAAUCUUGGAUAGCCAAGUUCAUGUUCAAGUUUGACUGACAAUUCAAACUGGUUGACCUUUCAUGAGCUUGAAUACACUAAGUGUCUAAAAAAUAAUAACUUGGUCUAGAUUCCAAUUCAAUUUGGAUUUGAAUUAGGGUUCAUCGUAUUUGAAAUCAAGUUGCAUUGAGCUCCAUAUUUGAUUUGGUUUCACUAAAUUGAACUGAAUUAUGAAUCCUUUCAUACUCAUUAAGUUGGUUAAAUUCAACUCCUAAAUAAUUAAUGCUUCUCUAAAUUCAAGUACAAAUUUACAAUUUCUAAUGUUUAGUUUAUUUGAUCUUAGUUUGAACUAAAGUCAAAUAUAAAUCCAAUAAUAUGACUAAGUUCAUUUCUUUAAAUCAAACAAAGUCAAACACAAUCCAAGUGAUCUACUAUGUGCAAAUAUUUGUCAAACUCUAUUUGAAUUUAAUUUGCAUCUUUUCCUAAAGUCAAUUAUUAAAUCCAAAAUAAUUAUUAGGUUUAAUUUAGUUCACUUAACCAUAUUGCAUUAGUUUUAUUCAAAUUAAACCUAGGGUUUCAAAGUUAUACCAAUAUGAGUAUGGAUUAAUUCAAAUGUUAUUUGAAUUUCCUAAAGUCUAAUAAUAAUAAUAAAUAUCACUAAACUUCAUUUUUAGUUUGUGAACCUAGUUGCAACAUAAUUGUUCAGUAAAACAUUUUUUAAUUAAAAGAUAAACCUAAAUAGGGAUUAAAUACAAUUUGAAUUACUACUACCGCUAAACUAUAUUUCAAUUCUAAUCUUAAUUUAUUAUAAAAUUAUCCUAUAGUGGCUAAGAUAAAACUACAUUUCACUAGGUUCAAUCUGCAAAAAAUAAUCAAUGUAUUUGGAUUUAUUAUUUGCAAGUUAUGCCCUAUUUGAAUUUGAAAUUAUUCUAUUUGAAUUUGACCGUUAAACUAUUCAAAUUCUAAAUUUUAUUAGUCUAGGUGAAUGUGGGGUCAUUUUGCAAAACGAACCAUUCAAUUUGGACUUGUAGAUAAUGGAUGGAGCCAUUGAACCUUCUGGCGACAACACAAUGGAACUCUCAAUGAAAGCACCAAUGUCGGUGUCAAAACCGGCGGAUCUCGGGUAGGGGGUCCCGAACUGUGCGUCUAAGUUUGAUGGUAACAGGAGACGGGGGACACGAUGUUUACCCAGGUUCGGGCCCUCUUGAUGGAGGUAAUACCCUACUUCCUGCUUGAUUGAUCUUGAUGAAUAUGAGGAUUACAAGAGUUGAUCUACCACGAGAUCGUAAUGGCUAAACCCUAGACGUCUAGCAUGUAUAAUUGUGAUUGCCUCUACGGACUAAACCCUACGGUUUAUAUAGACACCGGAGGGGCCUAGGGUUGUACAGAGUCAGUUUACAGAGGAAGGAAUCUUCAUAUACAAACGCCAUGCUUGCCAUCCACGCAAAGGAGAGUCCCAUCCGGACACGGGAGGAAGUCUUCUAUCUUGUAUCUUCAUGGCCCAUCAGUCCGGCCCACGUCACAUAGCCCGGACGCCUGAGGACCCCUUAAUCCAGGACUCCCUCAGUAGCCCGUGAACCAGGCUUCAAUGACGAUGUGUCCGGCGUGCAGAUUGUCUUUGGCAUUGCAAGGCGGGUUCCUCCUCCGAAUACUCCAAAGUAGUCCUCGAACACAGAGAACGUGUCCGGCUCUGCAAAACAAGCUCCGCAAAGAGUAUAACAUUUAACAAGUCCCAUCUACUAAUAUCAUUUGUAGUGAGACGCCACGUCUCUGCACGGUCAUUAUUUCGAACCGUUUUUUAGCCUCCCACUCCGUGUUUCGAGAUGCGGUUUCCAUUGGCACGUCUUGUCAAAGUAGAGAUCGUGUCCCCUUAUCACGGGAUCCUCAUCAAUAUGGGUGUGGCUAAUCCAACCGUGUUGUUAGCGAUCCCUUGGGAAUAGGCGAGCUUUAAGGCCCGUGAGGAGGCGUUCGAUAUUCUUCGCCUUUAUAAAGGGGUAUAGAUCCGUCUUUCUCCCCCCACGCCUACCUCUUCCUCAACCUUCCCAACCCCAGGCUCCAAUGCCCAGGAUUCAAUUUCUUCCAUUGUUACCAGGCCCUCUAGUUAUGUCCGGAUCCAUCUCCCAAGGUAGGUGGGCAGCCUCCUCGGUCACCGAGGAGGAUAUCGCGAAGCUUCGGAAGGCGAGGUACCUGAUUGCGGAAAUCCCCCACAGGCUCCCUACUAAAGGGCAGGUCAUCCCCACACCAAAAUCCGGCGAGAGGGUGUUAUUCAUCUCCCACUUCCUCCGUGGGCUAGGGUUAGCUCUUCACCCCUUCGUUCGCGUCCUCAUGUUCUAUUAUGGACUAGAUUUUCACGAUCUAACUCCGGACUCUUUUCUCCACAUCUCGGCGUUCGUCGUCGUGUGCGAAGCCUUUCUCCACAUCCCCACACUUCAGCCUAUGGAUUAAGACUUUCAAGGUGAAGCCGAAGCUAGUCAACGGGGAACAAGCGGAGUGCGGUGGUGCUAUGGUGAGCAAGCUUGCCAACACUAUCUGGCCAAAAGGCACCUUCAUGGAAACCUCCAACUCAUGGCAACAUGAGUGGUUCUAUAUCACCGAACCCCGCGGCACCAAAUGGGCAGCCGCACCUGUGUUCCGAUCUGGCCCUCCAUUGCGGCUCGCAUCAUGGAUAAACAAGGGGCUAGACUGGGGAUCAGCCGAUGAAGCAUAGACACUGCAAAGUCGUAUCCGGAGUAUCCUUGAAAGGGAUGUUAGCAUUAUCAACGUGAUCCAAGUGAUGCUAGUCCACCGGAUCCUCCCGUGCCAGCGACGGCCUCUCCGUAUGUGGGAGUUCAAUCCGGAAGGACCGCGGACCCUUCAAAAAUUCUUCGGCACAAUGCACGAAGGGAUGUGGAAACUAUUCUUCAAGACUCGAAAGCAGUGGCCAGACACAUCAGAGGACAUCGGUCUCGACUGCAACCAUCCGGAUACCUUGGUAAGCACCCAAUUUCUGACCUCAACUCGGCUGAUUAUCCCAUAGCGAUGUACUGAGAGUUCUAUCUUUGACCAAGGCUGGAUAAAGAAGGCAGAAUGAAUUAGGUGUUCAGCUCCACUUCCCGAAGACUCGGUCGAUCCUAUGUUGACGUGGAUGCUGGUCCCGGGGCUGUAUCAAGUGCCAGCGCAAGAGGGCAAGAAGAAGAGCGAAGAGGCCGAAAGCGGCCUCCACUCUGCAGGUAUGUCGGACACUAUGUCCGGGGAGACUGAAGCUCUCUCUUCAAAAGAUGAAGGGGAAGGAGAAGGUGAUAUCCCUUCCCCUCAUGGGAGGAAAAGGACUGCAUCCGAAGACUUGGAGGUGGAAGCACGUAAGAGAGGGAAGGUGUCCCUUCCAUAUGGUUCAGGUUCCGAAGCCGAUGCCAUCGCAAGGCGCCUCUCUAGGGACAAGCCCCUUGCCGAAUCGUAAGUGAACAAGGAUGCUCUAGACAUAUCCCAUUCUUUUCGGGUUGCAGGGGUAACAUCUAAACUAUAUGCUUGCAGUUCGGCCCACAGUCCACCCCGACAGUCCUCCUCAUCAAGGGACUUAACUCCGGGGGUGAUGGAAAGCGAGACGCCUUCUCAUGCUUCCUCGCCUCUUAGGGUGGACGACUUCGAGGUGUCAUCUCAGAGAAUCUCCCCUGACCAUCAAGCAGCAUGGGGGACGAUGAAAACAACGCCCGAGGGUGGUACUUCGAUCAUCAAGGGUCCAGGGGCGAAGCCCCUACGGGGGCCAGCAAUGAAGGCCCCGAUCUAUCCGGCUUACAGCCGAAGACGACUCUAGGGUCGAGCCAAUGCACCCCUUUGAAGGGAAUGCAUAUUCCCGCAGCAGCCUCCAGGAAUCCGGAGGUGCCGGAUACUCUGAUUAGCACAUUACAAAGUGUAUCCAUUUCACAGGAACAUCGUACCUUAAUGGGUAUGGUAGUUGAAAGGGUUCUGUCCGCGAGAAGCGGAUUGAAUGAAGCCUUCAUGGGCCUGUUGAGAAGCUUCGAGGUAUGCGAUGUAAUAGCUUAACUAUUUUUAUGUGCACAAUGCGCCCGUGUACAGAUAGUAGCCCCUGAGGCUCUGGUCGGCUUCCACAGGGAGGCGAUCAGAGGAUCAAAAAAGAUAUGCUCAGGAAGUAACCUAAUUAAUUCGAACACAGGCUGUUACGUCCAUGGCGACCGCCCAAGCUACGGAAGUUGCAGAUCUAAAGCAGAAACUUGAGUUAGCGGAUGAGGACAUCACUCUUAUUAACAGGCGGCUCGAUGAGGCACAAGGUAUGUGUUGGGGCAGCUUGUUUAUGCAUGUAUACUAGUAUGAGCACGAGGCUGAAAAUCAUAUACUGUGACAUGAAUAAUUGUAGAUGGUGCUGCCGCGGUUGAGACCCUUCGGGCUGAACUUGCCCGGGCCAAGGAGCAGGCCAGAGUGAGCGACGCAGCUGCCAAGAAGGCGGCUGCGGAUUUAAAGGCUGAACAGGCUGCUCAGUGCCAGUGCCAGGAGAGAAUAUCUACCAUGGGGCGGGAGCUGAAGGAAGCCACUAGCAGGUGCAAAUCUCUCGAGGAGGAUAACAAAGCCAAGGCAGCCAAACUCAACAAGGCCUUACUAGAGGCGAAAGAAGCGCAAUCCGAAUUUAGAGCGGCUCGGGAGGAGAUCCGCAGGCUGGGGAGAUAGCGGCUGGUAAGCCCUUUCUUUUACAGACUAAGUUCGGUGACCCAAAGUAUGCUCUACUUAACCAAAUGUGAAGUUCUCCAGACGCGUUCUUGGAUCGGCCGAAGAGUGUUUCCGACGCAGCGCAGUUCUUCCAAGCACAGCAAGGACGUGCUGCGGAGAGGCUUUUCUGGUCGCAAUUCAACGUGGCAAAGCGUCCGGCGCUGCUGAACGAACAGAUAGCCCAGUGGGCCGAGCUACACAAGAUGUCCGGAGCUACCAUGAAGGACGUCGUGGUUCGGGUAUAGCCAGCCUAACCCGUUCCGAGCAGCUAUUUUGAUUUGGUGCAGAAUCUUGUCGAUGCAGUGCCGCGUAUUGACGCUGUCAAGCGGUCGGUGUGCAUAGAAGGUGCCCGGAUGGCCUUCGCCCGCGUCAAGAUGUACUGGACAAAGAUGAUGGCCACUGAUGUUGCAACCAAGGGUCCGCCUGGAGGCAAGCACCAUUGCACGCCGGAGCAUUAUUUGGAGGACGUCCUAGAGGGCGCCCGCUUGAUAGAGGAUCAGUGCUCGAAGGAUAUUAUAUUUGAAUAAAUGUACUGAAAUUGUGAAAACAAUAUUAUGAUACGUUAAAGCUAUGUUAUAUACCUUUGCCAUUAUUUCCUCCUGUGCGGCCGUUUCUUAUAACCUGAAAGUUUGCCAGUCAUCGGCUUCGGCCCCCUCGCAUAUAAUACGGGGGGUGUUCGGAAUAGCACCUGAUCACUCUUAACCCAACGUCUUGGUCCGAAAUGGAGGUGUCAGUGCGGCGAACUAGGCAAUCGGAAUAUAGGGCUUUAACACCUUCACUUAGCCAUAGGAGUUUUACGGUGGGUCUACUCUGUAGCCCCUGGUAUGUACGCAGUUAUCCGAAUACGGUUGCGUUACAUAGGUGACCAGAAAAAAUGGUCCUUCGUGUAAUACAGAAGAAAUCGCAAAAGAUUCUAAUAAGUCAUCGAGUGGUUGACCAGCUCGCGCCGCAUCAUGAUAGUCAGUUUUUGACUUUCUCUACUGAGGUGUUUGACCAGGUGAACCAGAAACACAAUCGCAGUAGUUCUCCCUUUACUACCCUAGCCGAUAAGACGGAACAUAGGGUAGCAAGCACAGGAGCCAGGCACCAAAGACAUGAUUCGGAGCUAAUGCAUAUAAUGCCAAACUCGUGACGCCGAAGUAUGCUAUAGAGCUGUUCGGACUUUUUUCGGCAACCCAUAUGUUGCCGUAUCAAGCCCCUGGCGAUUUAUGCCGAGGUGUCUCCGUGAAACAACCGAAGAAGCAAGGCACGUUUGUAUGCGGAAAAGCAAAUACUGAAGACGGAUUAUGUUCACUAAAAUCUGAUUGAUACGUCAAACGUAAUCUUACGGAUUAUGACACCACCACCCAGGCCAUUUUACGUGCCAGGGGUCGAGGGCUGAGGAAAAAAGGCUUUGUACAGGUUUCAAAUAGAGUUUUUGGUCUACAAAAAAUCUUUUGGACCUCCUGUCGCACGUCUGCGCUGCCUGUGCUUCCGCGAAAAGGCCUCCUUAGAGGGAGCAAUCCCCGGUUAUUUGUAGGAAAGCCGGGCUCAUAAAGAGUCAUUUUAGGUCCAUAGGACGGGCAGGUGUUCAUUCACCUGUGGCACAAAGAAAAAGAAAAAAAAGGUUAGAAAAGAGAAAAGGCUAAAGUCCGGACGAACCGCUUUGUAGGUCUGUCCGUAUUGUGCCUCCGUCGAUGACCAAGGUAUUUUGAGUGCAUAAUUAUGUAUGCACGGUGCAAACUCUGUGGGUAUAAGAGAUGAACGACGGAGGCGGAGCUGCUAAUCCAGCUCUAAAAUUGACCAGUCCUGUGUAGUAGAGACCGGCGGUUUAAUGACCGAUGAGAUACAAGGCUUGAGGAGGCCGAUUUGUACUUCGGCUGUGAUUGCCAAAGUGUGCCCCUCACUGCGGAGGGAGUGUUCCUUGUUUCCGUUGACCAUUAUGGUGCCGCGUGGACCGGGCAUCUUAAGCUUUAGAUAGGCGUAGUUUGGCACCGCAUUGAAACGAGCAAAAGAGGUCCGCCCGAGCAGUGCGUGGUAGCCAGUGCAGAAUGGGACAAUAUCGAAAAUCAAGUCCUCGCAUCGGAAGUUUUCCGGUGAACUAAAGACGACCUCCAGUGAAAUUGAGCCUCUGUCUUGAGCUUCUAUGCCGGGUAUUACUCCCUUGAAGGUAGUUGUGGUGGGCUUGAUCCUUGAAGGGUCAAUGCCCAUAUUGCAUACAGUGUCUUGAUAGAGUAAAUUGAGGCUACUGCCACCGUCCAUGAGGACUUGCGUGAGAUGGAAUCCGCCGAUAAUUGGAUCGAGGACCAGAGCUGCCGAACCUCCGUGACGGAUACUGGUUGGGUGGUCCUCGUGAUCAAAAGUGAUCGAGCAGGCCGCCCAUGGGUUGAAUUUUGGGCGUUCGGCUUCAUGGCGUGGUCGUCUCGUAGUUCGUGCUUGCGCUCCCUUUCAGAGGUAUGCGUCAUGUAUAUCAUGUUCACUGUUUUUACUUCGGGGGGAAAUUGCUUCUGUCCCCCGGUGCUCGGUAGGCGAGCUCCUCUUCUUCACUGUCAUUGGGCGGCCCCUUCCCUUUGUGUUCGGCAUUGAGUUUGCCGGAUUGUUUGAAAACCCAACAAUUUCUGUUGGUAUGGUUGGUGGAUUUGUCGGGGCUGCCAUGGAUCUGACAGGGCCGAUCCAGUAACUUGUCUAGACUGGAUAGACCAUUUAUGUUUGCCUUGAAUGGCUUCUUCCGUUGACCGGUUUUGGAGCCACUAAAUCCGGCGUUGACCAUUGUGUCUUGGGUUCCCGCGUUAUUGUUGUGACGCCUAUCUUCAUUGCGUCGUGGCUUGCCAUUGCCGUCCCUGACUUCGGAGGUGCCAAGAUCGCCCGCGCUAUUGCUUCUACGAGCGAGCCGGCUAUCUUCUCCAGCGCAGAAGCGGGUCAUUAGUGCGGUGAGAGCUGCCAUGGACUUUGGCUUUUCUUGGCCGAGGUGGCGGGCGAGCCACUCGUCGCGGACGCUAUGUUUGAAGGCUGCCAGUGCUUCGACGUCCAGACAGUCAACAAUUUGGUUCUUUUUAAUUAGGAACCUAUUCCAGAGUUUCCUGGCUGAUUCUCCGGGCUGCUGGAUGAUCUGACUGAGGUCAUCGGCGUCCGGAGGCCGGACAUAUGUACCUUAGAAAUUGUCGCGAAAGGCGUCUUCCAAGUCUUCCCAGCUGCCAAUGGAGUUUUCUCGCAGGCUGUUUAACCAGUGUCGGGCUGGUCCCUUUAAUUUUAGUGGGAGGUAUUUAAUGGCGUGGAGAUCAUCACCGCGGGCCAUGUGGAUAUGGAGAAGAAAAUCCCCAAUCCAUACUGCGGGGUCAGUCGUUCCAUCAUAUGAUUCAAUAUUAAUGGGUUUAAACCCUUCUGGGAAUUCGUGCUCCAUUACUUCGUCAGUGAAGCAGAGGGGGUGUGCGGCGCCUCUAUAUCGGGCGAAGUCGCGACGUAGCUCGGAUGGAGUCCGUCUGCGGUUUUCGGCCCGGACGUGGUUAUGCUUGUCAAGUCCGGCUAGAUAGCGUCGUCGCGCGUCAGGGCACGCCCCCGUGAUCCGUAGAUCGAUCUGGUCUGGCCUGCCCUAUUUUCCAGGUCCUGCCGCAGGUCAUAUGUAUAUCCCCGAGCUGUUGUGUCUCUACCAUUAUGGCGAGGUGGUAUGGGCUGGUGUUCGGCUUGAGUUGCCGUUUUGUCCCGGCCACGUGGUGGUCGGUCAGCUGCGUUACGCACUGAUGGUACGGGCUCGAGUGCCUCGUCAUCAAAUUGAGGUAGCAAUUUACGCUUCGGGUAACUUUUGGUUGGGCGCUCGAGGCUGUAUUCCUCGGCUGCCAAGACAUUAGUCCACCUAUCAUUGAGUAGGUCUUGAUCAGCUUGAAGCUGCUGCUGCUUCUUUUUCAGGCUCCUUGCAGUGGCUAUUAGCCGGCGCUUAAAGCGCUCCUGCUCGAGAGGUUCCUCAGGCACGAUAAAGUCUUUGUCGCCGAAGCUCACCUCAUCCUCGGAGAGUGGAAGAUAAUUACUGUCCUCUGAGUCUUCGUUUACGGCCUGUUCAUCAGGGCUAACUUGCCCAUCUUCCCGAUCAUCCUGUUUGGAGGUUGGCUCGACGGGGUUUUCUUGGUCUUCGUCAUCGUCCGGAGUAUUGUUUUCUCUCAUGCCGGUAUUGCUGUCUUUUCCACGGCGUGAUUUAGAGCAGCGCCGCUGACGUCGGCGCUUUGGUUGUGUCUCAGGAGGUUUAUCUUCGACUAAUUUUUUCUCAUUAUCGCCGUUACCCUCUUUGGGUGUAUCCAUCAUGUACACAUCAUACGAGCAGGUGGACAUCCAGCGUCCGGUAAUCGGCGGGUUUUGGGCCUGCUCUUCUCCGGCAUCGUCGUCCAUACCGUGGAUGUCUUCGGAGCCGUAAUCGAGCAUGUCAGUUAAGUCCUCGACAGUGGCUAUGAAGUGGGUGGUGGGUGGGACGUGAAAUUCCCUGCUCUCAGCCCCUAGUCCGGGCUGGGCGUAGUUUGGACGUUGCUCCUCUAUAAUGACGAGGGAUUGCAUCAAGUCCAGAGCCUCGCUUAAAGGCGAGGUUUGGCCAGGGGGAAAAGAGUCCGUGGAGUACGGCGGGAAGGAGACUUCUUGGCCGAGCUCACACGAUGCUGACUCCGAGGGUUCGGAGCCACUGUCCGGAGAAGAGUCCGGCUUCCUGAUGGUUGCCAGUGACACUACUUCCUCCGGCUCUCCCGUACUGGGCUUAGUGGUUGCAGAUAGUCCGGCGGGCUCAGGAAUCCCGUCUUCGGACCUAGCAAUGCGCUCCGGAUCUAAGGCCAGAGAGGAGGUUGAGGUCAUGAACCCUUGGAAGAUCAAGUCUCCUCGGAUAUCAGCGACAUAGUCUAGAUUUCCAACACUAAUCUGGUGACCUGGGGCGUAGCUGUCGAUCUGCUCUAGAUGGCCAAGCGAGUUGGCCCGCAGUGCAAAGCCGCCGAAAUACAAAGAUCUGGCUGGGGAGAAAGACCUCCCACGGGGCAGUACUGUUGUAGUUGAUGGAUGGAGCCAUCGAACCUUCUGGCACAACACAGCGGAACUCUCAAUGAAAGCACCAAUGUCGGUGUCAAAACCGGCGGAUCUCGGGUAGGGGGUCCCGAACUAUGCGUCUAAGUUUGAUGGUAAUAGGAGACGGGGGACACGAUGUUUACCCAGGUUCGGGCCCUCUUGAUGGAGGUAAUACCCUACUUCCUGCUUGAUUGAUCUUGAUGAAUAUGAGGAUUACAAGAGUUGAUCUACCACAAGAUCCUAAUGGCUAAACCCUAGAUGUCUAGCCUGUAUAAUUGUGAUUGCCUCUACGGCCUAAACCCUCCGGUUUAUAUAGACACCGGAGGGGCCUAGGGUUGUAUAGAGUCGGUUUACAGAGGAAGGAAUCUUCAUAUACAAACGCCAAGCUUGCCAUCCACGCAAAGGAGAGUCCCAUCCGGACACGGGAGGAAGUCUUCUAUCUUGUAUCUUCAUGGCCCAUCAGUCCGGCCCACGUCACAUAGCCCGGACGCCCGAGGACCCCUUAAUCCAGGACUCCCUCAAUCACAAGCAAUCCUAGGCGGUCAUGGGUAUUUCCUAGCAAAAUUUUAGUUCCUUGUGAAUUUUUUCAACAUACUAGAUUUGGGAAAAAUCCAGGAUGUGAGAACAUGUUCAAUACCAUGAGUUUUGAGUAGUUCUAUUUGUCCUUGAGGACAUGGGAGAAGUCUUGUUAUUAGUAAUCAUGUGAAGUUGAUCACCAUUCAAUGUUUUGAUGAUAUGUUGUGUUGUUCUUCCUCUAGUGGUGUUAUGUGAACGUCAGCUACAUGGCAAAUCACCAAGUUUAGGCCUAGGGGAAGGCAUUGUGAAAUUAGUUCAUAGACGAUGGGUUGCCAGAGUGACCGAAACCUAAACCCCAAUUUAUGAAUUGUUCCACGAGGGGUUGUUUUGGAUCUAUAUAUUUAAUGUUGUGGUUAAAUUUAUCUUUAUUACUUCUCUUGUAUUUGUGGAUGCUUGCAUGGAGGGUAUAUCAUAAGUUGGUGUCCGUUCAAGUAAGAACAUCAACGUGGUUCUGGUCCACCAACAUAACAACUUAUCAAGGCAAUGAACGUAAGUCGAUGAAUCAUGGUGAAAUUAACUAGACAAUAUUCAUGUGCGUCCUCAAGAGUGUUUUAAUCACUAUAAUAAGUUCCAUCGACUUGUCCCUAGCAAUAUUAAGGAUUGGGCUACUUGUUGCAUCUUGCUACUUUUGUUACUUGUUACUUGCUAUCACUUAUCUUGCUAUCAAACUAUCUAUCAAAAUUAUCUUACAUCACUUGUAGAGAAUAUAUUGCUGAAAACCGUGUCUCGAUUCCGUGUGUUUCUCUCUUGGUUCGACACUCUUACUUAUGAAAGGACUACAAUUGAUCCCCUAUAUUUAUGGGUCGUGACUCUAGAUAAUUAACCUAAUAGUUAAUCAUAUUGGUACUUUCAAAAAUAAUGCAUAUGCAUUAGGCACAAAUGAAUCUUACCAAUCCCCUACAUUUCUCAUGACUAUGAGGGAUUACUCGCGCAUGAGAGAGGAAUAAGAAUCAAUCACAAAGAUUGUGCAAAGGAAAUCCUUUUCCUUAGUAAGUAGUUUGUCACAAUAAGAUGAAUGAUUAAACCAAUUUCAAUCUCUGGAUUAACCACAAAUAGAGUACAAACCCUAGGCUUACAAAUUGGAGCAUUUCCUUCUCUAUGGCGGCAAUAUUGAUGAAUGGAUGGGGGACUUGCAAUAGAGAGAAAUCUAGAACUAAUCCAAGUGAAGUUCUUCUCCUACGUACCUCUCCUCCUCUGAACAGAUUUGAGUUGGUGGUUUUAUGUUUCUUGUCUCCCUGGAUCAACACAACAAACUCGUCUUGUAUAGACGAGAGUUAGGCGCGGGCUGCUGGUAAGACCGUGGGUACCUGCGUAAGCGCUUGUACCACACGUCAUCUUUUCUUCUGGAUGCGUGAUGUUGGCUUGAACUACGUUGGUAUUUCUCCAAAGUGGAAGGGAUGAUGCAGCACAAAAACUGUAGGUAUUUCCCUCAGUGAUGAGACCAAGGUUAUUGAACCAGUAGGAGAACCACGCAACACCAUGUAAACAACUCCUGCACACAAAGAACAAAUACUUGCAACCCGACGUAAGAGAGGGGUUGUCAAUCCCUCACGGGUAAAAAGAUAGGUAGAUUGGAUAAAUAGAUCUCACGGGAAUGCGAGAUAAAAUAAAUAGAAAUUGCACCAAGGUAUUUUUGUAUUUUUGGAUUAAUAGAUCUGAGAAUAAAAGCAAAUAAAAAUAGAUUGCGAAGGCAAAUAUAAUAAAGAAGAGACCCGGGGGCCGUAGAUUUCAAUACUGGAUUCUCUCGAGAAAAUUAGCAUACGGUGGGUAAACAAAUUACUCUUGGGCAAUUGGUAGAACUUCAAAUAAUCAUGAUGAUAUCCAGGCAAUGAUCAUUAUAAAGGCAUCACGUCCAAGAUUAGUAGACCGACUCCUGCCUGCAUCUACUACUAUUACUCCACACAUCGACCGUUAUCCAGCAUGCAUCUAGUGUAUUAAGUUCAUGGAGAAAUGGAGUAAUGCUAUAAGAACGAUGACAUGAUGUAGACAAGAUCUAUUUAUGUAGAAAUAGACCCCAUCUUGUUAUCCUUAAUAGCAAAGAUACAUACGUGUCGGUUCUCCUUCUGUCACUGGGAUCGCACCGUAAGAUCGAACCCAUCACUAUAAGAUCGAACCCAUCACAAAGCACCUCUUUCCAUGGCAAGAAAAAUCGAUCUAGUUGGCCUAACUAAACCAAAGAUUCGAAGAAGAAAUACGAGGCUAUAAGUAAUCAUGCAUAUAAGAGAUCAAAAGACUCAAAUAACUUUCAUGGAUAAAAACAUAGAUGUGAUCAUAAAAUCAAAGUUCAUCGGAUCCCAAGAAACACGACGCAAAAAGAGUUACAUCAAAUAGAUCUCCAAGAUACCAUUGUAUUGAGAAUUAAAAGAGAGAGAGAGAGAGGAAGUGGCACCAAUGAUCUCCAAGAUCUCCAAGUAGGUCUACAAUGAACUACUCACGCAUCACCGGAGUGGCACCAAUGAGGAUGGUGAACCCCUUCGUGAUGGUGUCUAGAUUGGAUCUGGUGUUUCUGGAACUUGCGGCGGCAGAAAUUGAUUUUCGUCGACUCCCCUAGGUUUUAUGGAAUAUUGGGGUAUUUAUAGAGCAAAGAGGCGGUGCGAGAGGCCACUGAGGUGGGCACAACCCACCUGGGCGCGCCUGGGCCCCCAGGUGCGCCCUGGUGGGUUGUGCUCCCCUUGGAGCACCCCUCUGGUACUUCUUUGUCCCAUCUUGUGUCUUCUGGUCUAGAAAAUAUCCACAAAAAGUUUCACUGCGUUUGGACUCCGUUUGAUAUUGAUUUCCUGCUAUGUAAAUAAACAAGCAGAAAACAGCAACUGACACUGGCACUAUGUCAAUAGGUUAGUCCCAAAAAAAUGAUAUAAAAUGAUUGUAAGAUGAUUGUAAAACAUCCAAGAUUGAGAAUAUAACAACAUGGAACAAUAAAAAAUAUAGAUACGUUGGAGACGUAUCAGCAUCCCCAAGCUUAAUUCCUACUCGUCCUAGAGUAUGUAAAUGAUAAAAACUGAACUUUUGAUGUGGAAUGCUGCCUAACAUGUUCAUCACAUAUUAUUUUCCUUGUAGCAUGGGAAUUUGGACUUUUAUAUGGUCCAAAGCAAUAGUCUAGUUUUGACAAGAGGACCUUAAUAAUCAAGCAUAUCAACAAGCAACCAUGUCUUUCAAAAUAUCAACACUAAAGCAAGUUAUCCCUAGCCCAUUAUGCUCAAUCAUUGAUACAGUCAUGAAACACACUCGCAUAUUAGCUACACCCAAUGGUCAAGUACGAUCAUAGUGCCCCUUAGUUGGUGCUUUAUAAGAGAAGAUGGAGACUCAAAUAAAAAUAAAAUUGCAUAAAGUAAAUAUAAAGGCCCUUCGUAGAGGGAAGUAGGGAUUUGUAGAGGUGCUAGAGCUCAAAGCGAAAAAGAUAGAGACAAAACAUUUUGGGUGGCAUGCUUUUCCUGUCAACAAAAACGAUCGAGUAGUUCCCAACACUUUCCAUGCUAGAUAUAUCAUAGGCGGUUCCCAAAUAGAAAAUAAAGUUUAUUCCUUUUUCCACCAUACUUUCACUUUCCAUGGCUAAUCGUAUCCACGGGUGCCUUCCAUACCAACACUUUCCAAGGAAUUUGUUACUUCAAAACAUAAAGUAAAUUCAUUUUUCAUUUCGGGACUGGGCAUCCCUAAUACCUUUACCGUACUCUCGUGCAAUGAUGAGUGAAUAAACACUCAUCUUGAGAAUAACACAUCUAGCAUGGAAAUAUAUCAGCCACUCCCUACCGUUUCAUGAGCGGUACAAGGACACAAAAGAGAAUUUUAUUUUGAAAAUUAGAGAUGGUACAUACAAAUUUGCUUAGAAUGGCAAAAGAAUACCGCAUAUAGGUAGGUAUAGUGGACUCAUGUUACAAAACUGGUUUAAAGAAUUUUGGAUGCACAAGUAGUGAUCAUACUUAGUGCAAAUGAAGGCUAGCAAAAGAUUGAGAAGCAUCCAACCAAGAAACGAAAAAUCUCAUAAGCGAGCAUUAAGCAUAACUAACAACGAAUAAUGCACCACAAGUAGGAUGUAAUUUCAUUGCAUAACUAUUGACUUUCAUGCUUGCAUAGGGAAUCACAAACCUUAACACCAAUAUUCUUACUAAAGCAUAAUUACUCAUCAACAUGACCCACAUAUCAUAUCAUCAUAUCGCAGAACUAUUACAAGGAAUCAAGUUUAUUUUGUCCAAUGAUCUUCAUGAAAGUUUUUAUUAUAUCGUCCUUGGAUAUCUAUCACUUUGGAACUAGUUUCAUAUGUUGCUUUUAAUAGGCUCAAACAAAUAUAAGUGAAGAACAUGAUCAUCAUAUUUCUUUCUCUCAAAUUAAUUUAAGUGAAGCAUGAGAGAAUUUCUAAAAAAAUACUAACUAUCAAAUAAAUAUAAGUGAAGCAUGAGAGCAUUUCUUCAAGAAUAAUAAAACACACCGUGCUCAAAAAGAUAUAAGUGAAGCACUAGAGCAAUUCCAAGGCUCUAAAAAUUUAAGUGAAGCAUAGGAGCAAUUCUAACAAGUCAUAGCAUAAUUUGGCUCUCUCAAAUAGGUGUGUCCAGCAAGGAUUCAAGACUAAAAAUUAAAAUCAAAACAAGCAAAGACUCAUAUCAUACAAGACGCUCCAAGCAAAACUCAUAAUAUGUGACGAAUAAAAAUACAGCUCCAAGUAAAAUACUGAUGGUCGUUAGAAGAAAGAGGGGAUGCCACUCGGGGGCAUCCCCAAGCUUAGUUGCUUGAUACUUCUUGAUCAUUAUCUUGGGGUGCCUCGGGCAUCCCCAAGCUUAGCCUUUUGCUAAUCUUUAUUCCUUCAUCCAUCGUAAUAUCACCCAAAACUUGAAAACUUCAAUCACACAAAACUCAACAAAACCUUCGUGAGAUCCAUUAGUAUAAGAAAGCAAAUCACUACUAUAAGUACUGUUGCAAACCCAUUCAUAUUUUAUUUUUGCAUUAUAUCUACCGUAUUCCAACUUUUCUAUGGCAAAAACUCUUCAAAGAAAACCAUGGAAUCAUCAAAACAAGCACACAACGCAAACAAAACAGAAUCUGUCAAAAACAGAACAGUCUGUAGCAUUCUGGAUAUUUCAAAUACUUCUGUAAGCCCAAAAAUUCUAAAAAAUUAGGAAAACAUGGGAAAUUUGUAUAUUAAUCUUCUGCAACAAAGAAUUAGUAUUUUAUCACGCUUCUGUUAAAAAUGAGAAUUAUUUUCGUGAGCGCAAUUUUUUUUGUUUUUCAGCAAGAUCAAAUCAACUAUCACCCAACAUGAUCCCAAAGGCUUUGCUUCGCACAAACACUAAUUAAAAUAUAAAAAACACAAUCAUAGCAGUAGAAUAAUUAUGCAAAAACUCAAGAACAGAAAGAAAAAGACAAAAAUAAAUUUUAUUCAUUGGGUUGCCUCCCAACAAGCGCUAUCAUUUUAUGCCCCUAGCCAGGCAUAAUGCAAAGAAUCUAAGUAUUGUCAUCUUUGGUUUUAUUUUCCUUAGAGGUGUUUUCCUCGGGAGGUUUUGCAAAAACAACAUAAAACACCUUAUCCAUAGGGACUUCAGCACUAUCAAGUUGCUUAUCAUCAUAACCCUUUUGAUUUCCGGCAACAAUCCAAGAAUAGUGUUGAUUAAUAUCAUUGAAAACUUGCUGGAUUACAUCUAAAACAUGGAAUUCCUUCUUAAGAUUCUCAUCAAAGAUUUGAUUAUCGCCAAGCAAAUGUCUUAGCACAUAACCACUAUUAUAAAGAAUUUCAUCUAUCACCGAUUUUUCAUGAUUCAUACCAUAUAAAUCAAAAAUUUCGCUUGCAUCCCGUACUAUGUAAUCAAAUUUAUUCAUAAUAACAAGGGUGGCCAACUUUUUAGCUUUGGGAUUCUUUACAAUGGGUAACUCAAAAAACAAUCUUUGCAAGGUAGAAUGAGUACGAAUAAAUUUAUUUGCAAGUUUCAGAACUAGUGCUAAAAUAGCUUCCGCAUAAGAUUUAGUCCUCUUAAGUAUAGGAACAUCAUCAAGACUUAAAUUUCCAACACAAUUGAAAAACUCUUGGAUACGUUCUUUUCCUAUAACAUUCCCUUGCCCCAAAACAAAAGUUCUAGCAUCCAGAUUGUCGGAUUGUCCAAUUUUAGGAGUUAGGCCAUCAUACAUUUCUGCCAUAGCAAAGUCACUCAUGGUGACAAACCCUAGCACACAAAAAGUACAACAAGAAACGCGGACGAAAAAGAGGGCGGAUAAAACGGCAAACUUUUGUGAAGUGGGGGAGAGAAAAACGAGAGGCAAAUGGCCAAAAAUGUAAAUUGCAAGGAGAUGAGAUUUGUGAUUAAGAACAUGGUAGAUGUUGAUCAUGUCUCCCUGAAAACAGCGCCAGAUAUUCCUUUGGAUGUUCGCAUGAACUACGUCGGUAUUUCCCCAAAGAGGAAGGGAUGAUGCAGCACAACAACGGUAGGUAUUUCCCUCAGUGAUGAGACCAAGGUCAUCGAACCAGUAGGAGAACCAUGCAACACCACGUAAACAGCUCCUGCACACAAAGAACAUAUACUUGCAACCCGACGUAAGAGAGAGGUUGUCAAUCCCUCACGGGUAAAAAUAUAGGUAGAUUGGAUAGAUAGAUCUCGCGGGAACGCGAGAUAAAAUAAAUAAAUAGAAAUUACAGCAAGGUAUUUUUGUAUUUUUGGAUUGAUAGAUAUAAAAAUAAAAGCAAAUAAAAAUAGAUCGCGAAGGCAAAUAUAAUAAAGAAGAGACCCGGGGGCCGUAGAUUUCACUACUGGCUUCUCUCGAGAAAAAUAGCAUACGGUGGGUAAACAAAUUACUCUUGGGCAAUUGGUAGAACUUCAAAUAAUCAUGACGAUAUACAGGCAAUGAUCAUUAUAUAGGCAUCACGUCCAAGAUUAGUAAACCAACUCCUGCCUGCAUCUACUACUAUUACUCCACACAUCGACCGCUAUCCAGCAUGUAUCUAGUGUAUUAAGUUCAUGGGGAACGGGGUAAUGCUAUAAGAACGAUGACAUGAUGUAGACAAGAUCUAUUUAUGUAGAAAUAGACCCCAUCUUGUCAUCCUUAAUAGGAACGAUACAUACGUGUCGGUUCCCCUUCUGUCACUGGGAUCAAGCACCGUAAGAUCGAGCCCAUCACAAAGCACCUCUUUCCAUGGCAAGAAAAAUCGAUCUAGUUGGCCUAACUAAACCAAAGAUUCGAAGAAGAAAUAUGAGGCUAUAAGUAAUCAUGCAUAUAAGAGAUUAAAAUACUCAAAUAAGUUUCAUGGAUAAAAACAUAGAUCUGAUCAUAAACUCAAAGUUCAUCGGAUCCCAACAAACACACCGCAAAAAGAGUUACAUCAAAUAGAUCUCCAAGAGACCAUUGUAUUGAGAAUCAAAAGAGAGAGAGGAAGCCAUCUAUCUACUAACUACGGACCCGUAGGUAUACAAUGAACUACUCAUGCAGGAUCGGAGAGGCACCAAUGAGGAUGAUGAACCCCUCCGUGAUGGUGUCUAGAUUGGAUUUGGUGGUUCUGGAACUUGCGGUGGCUGAAAUGUAUUUUCGCCGACUCCCCUAGGGUGUCUGGAAUAUUGGGGUAUUUAUAGAGCAAAGAGGCGGUGGAGGAGGCCACCGAGGUGAGCACAACCCACCUGGGCGCGCCUAGGCCCCCAGGCGCGCCCUCGAAUCCACAAAAAGUUUCGCUGCGAUGUAAAAAACAAACAGAAAACAACAACUGGCACUGGGCACUAUGUCAAUAGGUUAGUCCCAAAAAAUGAUUGUAAAACAUCCAAGAAUGAUAAUAUAACAGCAUGGAACAAUCAAAAAUUAUAGAUACGUUGGAGACGUAUCAAUGCGCCAGGUGAAUUUCUUCCCAAGAUGGAGGUUGUCAAUCUUCUCCUUAGCUAACCUAAUAUGAUCUUGGUUUCUUCCUAAUAUGGAUAAAUCAGCACACCAAGCAAGGAAAUAAAGUUUAUUUUUAUUUGAAGGGUUAUCGUUAGUGAAAAAAUGAAAAAUGACAAAGGCCCUGUGUUCGCACACGAACACGUCACAGUGUACCUCCAACGUCGAGGGUGAUGCACCGUAACUCACGUCGAAAGAGACCCGUCCGAAAGUGCGGUACACAAGCAUUCCGGCAGGUGCUUUUGAGGACCGGAAACCCCACACGCCCUGGAGGGACCCCGUAUGGAUGCAUGGCAGCUAUGGGCUGCCCUAGGUUUUCUCGCUCGCCCCUAGAGCCUCGAGGAUCGCUGCCCGUCAACACAAAGAAUGAACGAAGAACGAGAGAGAAAGAACAAGAGAGAGAUGUAAAAACUAGGGUAAAAAUAGUAUAUUGAUUUGUCGAUUGUGUGUUGUUUAAUCAGCCGUCACCUCUCAUAUCUAUGAGGCAGAUAGACUUCCUAUAUAAGAAAAGGACUAAAAUUCCGUCCAAAACAUAAAAAAAACCUAACCUAACCCGGACAGGAAUCUUUGACAAUUUUCUGAAUCAACUCGGAGCCACCGAGUGGUUUGCUUCGGUGCCAUCAGGUGAAUGUGGCCAACCUUCCAUAAUCUUUUGUACCUCACUCAGAAUUUUCGAGUGGUUUCACUUGGAAUUACCGAGUCAAAUCAACUUGGUCGGUCCGAAAUGGCUCUGCAACUUCUGUUUUUGACCUUAUUUUGGCUCCACAGGUUCUAUAUGAUCUCGGUUUGAGACAAAUUUUAUAUGAAAAUCAACUGUUUCGAUGAGACGCACAACUUUAAUGUUGAAACUUUUUGCAUCUGAGGGCCAUCUUAACUGAGUAUCAUGCCAUUUCAUAAUCUGAUGUCAACACAAGCAUCUCUAAAAUUGUCAUAACUUUUGCAUCCGAGCUCCGUUUUGUACCAUCUUCAUACCCAUCUUGAUCUUCUUGAAAAGAUCCAUUUGAAGGUGACUUCCAAUCAUAAGUUUGCAUUAAUAUUGACAUAGCUUUAAGCUACUUUUAUGAUUGUGCCACAUUUGAGCGUCAACACAUGCCCCCCGUUUUUCAGCAAAGCUAGCGUGUCGAAAAAAUAACAUGUACCGUGUUUGUUUUAAGGACGAUGUCAACACUCCAUCAGCCAUUUAUAUGUACUUAGGCAAUAAUUUUGUAUCGGCCAUGUUUAUGCUUAGGGCGAUAAUUCUGAAGCGGUCAUUGCUUUUACAUUUUUUUACAUCAUACCUUGGAACCGAUUACCACCAAUCGGCUUUAAAGAGAUAGGAAUGAACAUGUUACUUGUAGCACUAAGGAAACCAAACUCCAAGAGGUCAUGCCCAGUUAAGCAAGUAACGUCGGGAUGAUUCCAAUGAAGGAAAUAUGCCCUAGAGGCAAUAAUAAAGUUGUUAUUUAUAUUUCCUUAUACAUGAUAAAUGUUUAUUAUUCAUGCUAGAAUUGUAUUAACCGGAAACUUAGUACAUGUGUGAAUACAUAGACAAACAAAGUGGUCACUAGUAUGCCUCUACUUGACUAGCUCGUUGAAUCAAAGAUGGUUAAGUUUCCUAGCCAUAGACAUGAGUUGGCAUUUGAUUAAUGGGAUCACAUCAUUAGAGAAUGAUGUGAUUGACUUGACCCAUUCCGAUAGCUUAGCACUUCAUCGUUUAGUAUAUUGCUAUUGCUUUCUUCAUGACUUAUACAUGUUCCUAUGACUAUGAGAUUAUGCAACUCCCGAAUACCGGAGGAACACUUUGUGUGCUGCCAAACAUCACAACGUAACUGGGUGAUUAUAAAGGUGCUCUACGGGUGUCUUCGAUGGUACUUGUUGAGUUAGCAUAGAUCGAGAUUAGGAUUUGUCACUCCGAUUGUCGGAGAGGUAUCUCUGGGCCCUCUCGGUAAUGCACAUCACUAUAAGCCUUGCAAGGAAUGUGACUAAUGAGUUAGUUGCGGGAUGAUGCAUUACGGAACGAGUAAAGAGACUUGCCAGUAACGAGAUUGAACUAGGUAUUGAGAUACCGACGAUCGAAUCUCGGGCAAGUAACAUACCGAUGACAAAGGGAACAACGUAUUUUGUUAUGCGGUUUGACUGAUAAAGAUCUUCGUAGAAUAUGUGGGGGCCAAUAUGAGCAUCCAGGUCCCGCUAUUGGUUAUUGACCGGAGACGUGUCUCGGUCAUGUCUACAUAGUUCUCGAACCCGUAGGGUCCGCACGCUUAACGUUCGGUGACGAUCGAUAUUAUGAGUUUAUGUGUUUUGAUGUACCGAAGGUAGUUUGGAGUCCUGGAUAUGAUCACGGACAUGAUGAGGAGUCUCGAAAUGGUCGAGACAUAAAGAUUGAUAUAUUGGAAGCCUAUGUUUGGACAUCGGAAUGGUUCCGGAAGAGUUCGGGCAUUUACCGGAGUACCGGGAGGUUACGGGAACCCCCCGGGGAGUCAAUGGGCCUUAAUGGGCCAUAGUGGAAAGGAGGAGGAGGAGGCGGCCAAGGUGGGGGCGCCCCCCCCCCCAAGCCCAAUCCGAAUAUGGAGGGGGCGGUCCCCCUUUCCUUCUCUCCUUCUCCCCCUUCCUUCCCUCUCCUACUCCAACUAGGGAAGGGGGAAUCCUUCUCCCACCGGGAGUAGGACUCCCCCCUUGGGCGCGCCUAGGAGGCCGGCCCUCUCCCCCUCCUCCACUCCUUUAUAUAUGGGGGAGGGGGGCACCCCAUAGACACACAAGUUGAUCAUUGAUCUUUUAGCCGUGUGCGGUGCCCACCUCCACCAUAAUCCACCUCGGUCAUAUCAUUGCAGUACUUAGGCGAAGCCCUGCGCCGAUAGCUUCAUCAUCACCGUCAUCACGCCGUCGUACUGACGAAGCUCUCCCUCGACACUCUGCUGGAUCGUGAGUUCGUGGGACGUCACCGAGCCGAACGUGUGCAGAUCGCGGAGGUGCCGUACUUUCUGUACUAGGAUCGGUCGAUCGUGAAGACGUACGACUACAUCAACCGCGUUGUCAUAACGCUUCCGCUUACAGUCUACGAGGGUACGUGGACAACACUCUCCCCUCUCGUUGCUAUGCAUCACCAUGAUCUUGCGUGUGCGUAGGAUUUUUUUUGAAGUUACUACGUUCCCCAACAGUGGCAUCCGAGCUAGGUUUAUGCGUAGAUGUUAUAUGCACGAGUAGAACACAAGUGAGUUGUGGGCGAUAAUAGUCAUACUGCUUACCAGCAUGUCAUACUUUGAUUCGCGGUAUUGUUGGAUGAAGCGGCCCGGACCAACAUUACGCGUACGCUUACCCGAGACUAGUUCUACCGACGUGCUUCGCACACAGGUGGCUGGCGGGUGUCAGUUUCUCCAACUUUAGUUGAAUCGAGUGUGGCUACGCCCGGUCCUUGUUGAAGGUUAAAACAGCACAUACUUGACGAAAAAUCGUUGUGGUUUCGAUGCGUAGGUAAGAACGGUUCUUGCUCAGCCGUAGCAGCCACGUAAAACUUGCAACAAAGUAGAGGACGUCUAACUUGUUUUUGCAGGGCUUGUUGUGAUGUGAUAUGGUCAGGACAUGAUGCUAAAUUUUAUUGUAUGAGAUGAUCAUGUUUUGUAACGGAGUUAUCGGUAACUGGCAGGAGCCAUAUGGUUGUUGCUUUAUUGUAUGAAAUGCAAUCGCCAUGUAAUUGUUUUACUUUAUCACUAAGCGGUAGCGAUAGUCGUAGACGCAAUAGUUGGCGAGACGACAACGAUGCUACGAUGGAGAUCAAGGUGUCGCGCCGGUGACGAUGGUGAUCAUGACGGUGCUUUGGAGAUGGAAAUCAAAGGCACAAUAUGAUGAUGGCCAUAUCAUAUCACUUAUAUUGAUUGCAUGUGAUGUUUAUCCUUUAUGCAUCUUAUUUUGCUUAGUUCGAUGGUAGCAUUAUAAGAUGAUCUCUCACUAAAUUUCAAGGUAUAAGUGUUCUCCCUAAGUAUGCACCGUUGCGAAAGUUCAUCGUGCCGAGACACCACGUGAUGAUCGGGUGUGAUAAACUCUACAUUCACAUACAACAGGUGCAAGCCAGUUUUGCACACGCAGAAUACUCGGGUUAAACUUGACGAGCCUAGCAUAUGUAGAUAUGGCCUCGGAACACUAAGACCGAAAGGUCGAGCGUGAAUCAUAUAGUAGAUAUGAUCAACAUAGUGAUGUUCACCAUUGAAAACUACUCCAUCUCACGUGAUGAUCGGACAUGGUUUAGUUGAUUUGGAUCACGUGAUCACUUAGAUGAUUAGAGGGAUGUCUAUCUAAGUGGGAGUUCUUAAGUAAUUUCAUUAAUUGAACUUUAAUUUAUCAUGAACUUAGUACCUGGUAGUAUUUUGCAUGUCUAUGUUGUUGUAGACAGAUGGCCUGUGUUGUUGUUCCGUUGAAUUUUAAUGUGUUCCUAGAGAAAGCUAAGUUGAAAGAUGAAGGUAGCAACUACACGGACUGGGUCCAUAACUUGAGGAUUAUCCUCAUUGCUGCACAGAAGAAUUACGUCCUGGAAGCACCGCUAGGUGCCAAACCCGCUGCAUGAGCAAUGCCAGAUGUUAUGAACGUCUCACAGAGCAAAGCUGAUGACUACUCGAUAGCUCAGUGUGCCAUGCUUUACGGCUUAGAACCGGAACUUCAAUGACAUUUUGAACGUCAUGGAGCAUAUGAGAUGUUCCAGGAGUUGAAGUUAAUAUUUCAAGCAAAUGCCCGGAUUGAGAGAUAUGAAGUCUCCAAUAAGUUCUACAGCUGCAAGAUGGAGGAGAAUAGUUCUGUCAAUGAGCAUAUACUCAAAAUGUCUGGGUAUAACAAUCACUUGAUUCAACUGGGAGUUAAUCUUCCUGAUGAUAGUGUCAUUGACAAAAUUCUUUAAUCACUGCCACCAAGUUACAAGAGUUUCGUGAUGAACUAUAACAUGCAAGGGAUGGAUAAGACAAUUCUCGAGCUCUUCGCAAUGCUAAAGGCAGCGGAGGUAGAAAUCUAGAAGGAGCAUCAAAUGUUGAUGGUCAACAAGACCACCAGUUUCAAGAAAAAGGGUAAAGGGAAGAAGGGGAGCUUCAAGAAGAACGGCAAGCAAGUUGCUGCUCAAGUGAAGAAGCCCAAGUCUGGACCUAAGCCUGAGACUGAGUGCUUCUACUGCAAAGGGACUGGUCACUGGAAGCGGAACUGCCCCAAGUAUUUGGCGGAUAAGAAGGAUGGCAAGGUGAACAAAGGUAUAUGUGAUAUACAUGUUAUUGAUGUCUACCUUACUAAUGCUCGCAGUAGCACCUGGGUAUUUGAUACUGGUUCUGUUGCUAAUAUUUGCAACUCGAAACAGGGACUACAGAUUAAGCGAAGAUUAGCUAAGGACGAGGUGACGAUGCGCGUGGGAAAUGGUUCCAAAGUCGAUGUGAUCGCGGUCGGCACGCUACCUCUACAUCUACCUUCGGGAUUAGUUUUAGACCUGAAUAAUUGUUAUUUGGUGCCUGCGUUAAGCAUGAACAUUAUAUUUGGAUCUUGUUUGAUGCGAGACGGUUAUUCAUUUAAAUCAGAGAAUAAUGGUUGUUCUAUUUAUACGAGUAAUAUCUUUUAUGGUCAUGCACCCUUGAAGAGUGGUCUAUUUUUGUUGAAUCUCGAUAGUAGUGACACACAUAUUCAUAAUAUUGAAGCCAAAAGAUGCAGAGCUGGUAAUGAUAGUGCAACUUAUUUGUGGCACUGUCAUUUGGGUCAUAUUGGUGUAAAGCGCAUGAAGAAACUCCAUUCUGAUGGACUUUUGGAAUCACUUGAUUAUGAAUCACUUGGUACUUGCGAGUCAUGCCUCAUGGGCAAGAUGACUAAAACUCCAUUCUCCGAAACAAUGGAGCGAGCAACAGAUUUGUUGGAAAUCAUACAUACUGAUGUAUGUGGUCCGAUGAAUGUUGAGGCUCGCGGCGGGUGUCGGUGUCAAAACCGGCGGAUCUCGGGUAGGGGGUCCCGAACUGUGCGUCUAGGAUCGAUGGUAACAGGAGACGGGGGACACGAUGUUUACCCAGGUUCGGGCCCUCUCUAUGGAGGUAAUACCCUACUUCCUGCUUGAUUGAUCUUGAUGAAUAUGAGUGUUACAAGAGUUGAUCUACCACGAGAUCGUAAUGGCUAAACCCUAGAAGCCUAGCCUAUAUGUAUAUGGUAAUGAAUGUGUCCUAUCCGGACUAUGCUCUCCGGUUUAUAUAGACACCGGAGAGAUCUAGGGUUACAUGGGGUCGGUUACAUAAGAAGGAAUCUUCAUAGUCGGUCACCAAGCUUGCCCUCCAUGCCAAGUAGAGUCCAAUCCGGACACGGUGCAGUCUUCGGCCUUCAUGUCUUCACAGCCCAUCAGUCCGGCCCAUGGAUAGCAGGCCCGACGCCCGAGGACCCCUUAGUCCAGGACUCCCUCAGUAGCCCCUGAACCUGGCUUCAAUGACGAGGAGUCCGGCGCGCAGAUUGUCUUCGGCAUUGCAAGGCGGGUUCCCCUUUUUCCGAACUCCAAUAUAGUCUUCGGACAUGAUAAUUGUAUCGGGACCCGUUAUACACCACACACAACCGCAGAGAGAAUAUAAUAUUUGCACGAAUCUAAUCUGUUGACUGCUUCUUUAUAACACGACAUCACGUCCGUCCGGUUAUAAUUUCGAACCGUUUUUCUUCUGCCAUCCCACGUUUUGAGACGCGGUUGCUAUUGGCAUGUCUUAUCGAAAUAGAGAUCGUGUCCCCUUAUUGCGGGAUUCUCAUCAAUGCGGGCAUGGGUAACCCAACUGUGUCGUUUGCACAGCCCUUGGGAAUAGGCGAAUCUUAAGGUGAGUGAGGAGGCGUUUAAUGUUUGCUGCCUUUAUAAGGGGAUAAGGAUUCCCUCUUCCUCUCCUCACGCUUUCCCUCUGUCUCCGCCUUCUCGAUCUCGAGCUCCAGCGCCCAAGCUUUAGUUUUUCCUCAUUCGAGAAGGCACUCUAAUCAUGUCCGGAUCCGGAGCUGGAGGCAAGUGGAUGUCCUCUUCCGUCAAUAAGAAGGACAUCACGGGGCUCCGGGAGGCCGGCUAUUUAGCCAAGGAGAUUGCUCACCGACUCCCUGCGAAAGGGCAAAUCGUCCCUACCCCCGAGCCUCAUGAGAGGGUUGUGUUUCUCACACAUUUCGUCCGCGGGCUGGGAUUCCCCCUUCAUCCAUUUGUCCGUGGAUUGAUGUUUUACUAUGGGUUGGACUUCCACGAUCUGGCCCCCAACUUUAUACUCAAUAUCUCAGCAUUUAUCAUUGUGUGCGAGGCCUUUCUCCGCAUCCCGCCUCACUUCGGCCUAUGGCUGAAGACCUUCAACGUGAAACCGAAGGUGGUGAGCUGUCAACAAGCAGAGUGCGGAGGCGCCAUGGUGGGAAAAAUGCCCAACGUCACCUGGCCCGAAGGCUCCUUUGCUGAGACGGUGAAGGGAUGGCAGUCGGGGUGGUUUUACAUCACCGAGCCGCGUGACGCCAAUUGGGUAGCAGCCCCCGAAUUCCGAUCCAGAGUUCCGAUGCGGCUCACUUCCUGGCAAGAGAAGGGCCUGACCUGGGGGUCCUUGGACAAGAUUACUGGGCUCCAGACAUGCGUCCAGAACAUGAUAACCAAGAAGAUCAAGCUUGUGAAUGUGAUCCAGGUCAGGCUCAUUCGCCGGAUUCUUCCGUGUCAACGCCGGACUUGCUAUUUGUGGGAGUACGACCCCGCCGAGCACCAGACGCUGCGAGGGCUCUUCGGCACAACGCACGAAGGCAUCUGGAAAGCGCUCUUCAAGGCGGGUGAGACACCCCGCCCACGACUGAAAAUCGCGGGCUUAGCUCAAAGCGCCAGGCCAAUUCGGUAAGUCUUUUAAUGCUUUUGAGGUAUACCCUUCACUAGCAUAUUUUUAGGAUGGAUACUGAGCUCCUCCGUCUACUUUACCAAGCCUGGAUCGAGGUGUCGGAGCAGAUUAACUGUCCGGCUCCGCUUCCUGAGGAGGAAGAAUUCCCACUUCUGACGAAGAUGUUGUUUCCGGCGCCAUAUGACGUGCCGGAGAAGACGGCCAAGAAAGCGGCCAAAGGGGCCAAGAAAGGCCCUUGCCAAAAAGGCGCUUCGGACAUGUCGUCCGAGGACGAGACUUCCUCUUCAUCCGAUGACGACGACGAAGAGGAAGAAGAACAAAACGAUUCCCCGCCCGAGGUGGGGAGGAAGAAGAGGGCGGCUCCCCCGGAUCCGGAGGCGAAAGCGCCCAAGAAGGUUAAAGGCUCCCAAACGGAUAACUCCAUGUGGGAUAUUGAUAGCAGUCCGGAACGACCUCGCCGGACCAAGCCUCGGGCCGCUUCGUAAGUACCAGAAUCCGCAAACGUAUGGCCUUUCUGUUUUAUAGUAUUGACAUAUUGUAAGCCUUGUUACUGCAGUCCAGCACGCGAUGGCUCCCCGCAGUCCUCAACUGAGGAUUCGCUGGGCUCGAAGGAGAGGGCUAGCACAUCUCCGCCACCUGCUCAUUCCGUCUCACCUAAGGGUGAUGACGAGGUGGUGUCCAAAAAGACUUUCCCAGGCCAGGGGGAGAUUCCGGAGAUCAUCGGGGUGACGUCCUAGGAUGAUUUUUCGGCCGCCGGACAUGUGGGGAAAAAAGUCCCCAUGGGAACUGGUGACGGGGCCCGAGUUCCCUUUGGACCUCAGCCGGAUACCAUUCUGGAGAUCUACACGGCUCCAGGGGCCAGCGAACGGCAUUCCCUGCAAGGAGGGAAUGUGCCUGUUCCACCGGUGACCUCUGUCCAACCAGAGGCGCCGGAUAAUCUGCUGGAGGAGCUACGAGGCGUCUCUAUUGUGGAUGAACAUCGUGUCCUUAUGGACACGGUGAUAGAGAAGUUUCAGUUCGUCAAGAGCGGACUGACCGAAGCCUGCACUAGCCUUCUAACGGGCUUUGAGGUAAGUGAUUGUAAAAAAUAUCACAGUAUAGACAAUAGCCCCUGAUGCUCUGUUUGGUGUUCGUGAAGAAAAGCCGAACAGAGUAUCGAGAAGAAAUAUCGCAGGAGUCUAACAUGAGUUGUCUAUGUGAACAAGCAGGUAUCGCUUAAGGCAGCCACUGCUCAUGCUGCGGAGGUCUCCGGACUGAAGCAGAAACUGGAGCGGGCCGAGGAGGAGCUCGGCCUCGUGAAGAAGCAUCUGGAGGAUAACCAAGGUAUGCAGUAACCUGCUGGUAUAUUUCUAGAUAAUGAAUAGUCCGAAUGGACUAAAUUGUCAUAAACUUUAUUAGGGGUCGCGACCGAGGUGGCAACCCUUAAGAAGGCGUUAGCCGAGGCCGAGGACAAAGCAGCCAAGGUACGCGCCUCGCGCGAGAAGCACGAGGCCCGGGUUGGUGAGGCGCAGCAAGAGCUCCAGGACGCGAUAGAGAGAUUUGAGUCCCUGGAGCGCGAUUGUAAGGCGCAAGAGUCCGAAUUGGCGAAGGUCCGCCAGAGCGCACAGGAUGCACGAGCCGAAGCCCAGAGCGCCCUCCAGGAGAUUCAGGCGGCCAAGAUGAUUACAGCGGGUAAACCUUUCACCAUGCAUAGCAAGUAUAUAGAAGAAACGUUCCUUGUACUUAUCCUGAAUUUGGAUUUUCCAGGGGCGUUUGCGGAUCUGCCGCACAGUGUGUCAGAUGCUGCCGAGUAUUACAGAACCAAGGAAGGUAUGUCAACGGAGAAGCUAUUCUGGUCCCAACAUCUGGGAUCCGAACAUCCGGUAACCUUCAGCGACCAGCUAAAGCAGUUGGUCAAGCUGCAUAGGUUGGCAGAGCUAGCCAUGAAGGACCUGAUAGUCCGGCUGUGGCCUGCCGAUCCUAUACCUAGCAGCUACUUCGGAGUUGUGCAGCGGCUUGUGUGUGCCUGUCCGCGGCUCGAAGUCGUGAAGCGGUCGGUCUGCAUUGAAGGUGCGAGUAUGGCCUUUGCCCGCGUCAAGACGCAUUGGGCGAAGCUGGAUGCCAAGAAGCUGAUGACCGAGGGACCGCCGGAGGGCAAGGAGCAUCGUCGACCUAAGCACUAUUUUUACGGUGUUCUGGAGGGGUCACGCCUUGUGGCGGAGCAGUGUUCGAAGGAUGUUAUAUUCCCAUGAGAACAUGUGUAUUACCUUGUUCUGUAAUAUGGAAAAAUGAUAUUAUUUAGUAUAAUGUUUAUGAUUUAAAUUUUACCUCCUGUGCGGCCGUUUAUUAAAUCUGAGGGUUGACCAGUCGUCGGCUUCUACCCCCACGUAGAUAGUAUUGGGGUGUUCGGGAUAAAUCUAAACACUCUUUACUCCACACUUUGGUCCUUAAAGGAGGUGUUUAGCACAACGAACAAGGCAAUCAGACUAUGCGGCCUUUACUGCCCUCACUUAGCCAUAGGAGUUUGACAAUUAAUAAAGUUGGUGAAGCCCCUAGUCUUUGGAAGGCCGAAUUAGGGGCGUUACACACGCCUAAUCGGAAGAACCGGUUCUUCGCAAGAAGCGGAAAAAAUCUCCAACGAUUGGGAACCUCUCGAACAGCUGACCGGCUCUCGCCGCAUCAUGACAGUCAGUUUUUGGCUUUCUCUACUGAGGUGCUCAUCCGGAAUAACCGGGACACAAUCGCAGUAGUUCUCCCUUUACUACCCUAGCCGAUGUAGCGGAACGUAAGGUAGUAAGCACAGGAGCCGGGCAACCCAACUAUUGACCAAAUACAUGAUUAGGAGCCGAUGCAUAUAAUACUAUAAGUUCGGGGUGCCGAACUAUACUAUAAAAGUGUUCGGACUUUUAUUGCCAUGAUGCGGGGUGUAAUGAAGCCCCUGGCGUAGUAAUACGUACCGUGGUGUACGUGUGCAAUGAGUAAUUAAUACCGAGGUGAGGAAACGGGAAAAUGAAGUAAUAAGCUGACGCUACCGUGUAUUCACCAUUGUGAUGUAACUAGUACGUUGAGGCGUACUUUGUACAAGUAAUGCGAUGUGCAAGUAAGUCUAUUUAACACGCCGCCACCAAGGGCGAGCUACAUGCGUGUAUGAAAAGCAAUUAUGGCAAUAGUGUAGUAGAGACCACCUGCGGAUUCCCUUGUAAGCCAGAGCUCCCUGCCUCCUUGGUGUGUUCUGCUGGCGGGUUGUCCGUGUAGUCCUUGAAAAGAGAAGAAAACCCAUAAAAAAGGAAAAGUAAAAGCAUGCGUAUCCCAGGGUCGGUCAAGCCGUACUGUGGAUUGCGAGCGGGGUAUGCCUCCAUCAGUACCCAUGGGGUUUCGAAUGCGUAAUUGUGUACGGAUGGUACGAAUGCCACUACCUCAUUGAGAUUGGGACGGAGGCCAAAUUGCUAGUCGACCUCUUGACGAGCCGCGCCGUCCUGUGGCAGCGUAGUCCGGAACCUCUUAAUGAUGUCCGAGGGCUCGACGGCCGUACUAUGGUGCUGCUUGAGAAGGCCGUUCUGUGCUUCUGCUGCUAGGGCGGCGAUGUGCUCCUCUGUUCGAAGGGAGCAUUCCGUGUUGCCAUUGACUGUUAUGACGCCACGUGGACCGGGCAUCUUGAGCUUGAGAUAAGCAUAGUGUGGCACUACGUUGAAUCUAGCAAACGCGGUUCGUCCGAGCAGCGCGUGAUAGCCGCUGCGGAAGGGGACGAUGUCGAAGAUUAACUCUUCGCUUCGGAAGUUGUCCGGAGAACCGAAGACCACCUCCAGCGUGAUUGAGGCCGUACAACGGGCCUCUACGCCUAGUACGACUCCUUUGAAGGUAGUCUUUGUUGGUUUGAUUCGUAAGGGGUCAAUGCCCAUUUUCCGCGUUGUGUCUUGAUAGAGCAGGUUGAGGAUGCUACCACCGUCCAUCAGGACUCGUGUUAGGUGAAACCCGUCAAUAAUUGGGUCGAGGACUAGUGAGGCUGAACUGCCAUGGCGGAUACUGGUUGGGUGAUCGCGACGAUCGAAGGUGAUCGGGAAUGAUGACCACGGAUUGAAUUUUGGGGCGACUGGCUCUACCGCGUAGACGUCCCUAAGUGCUCGCUUACGCCCCCUUUUGGGGAUGUGCGUAGCGUAUAUCAUGUUCACCGUUUUGACUUGAGGGGGAAAUUUCUUCUGCCCUCCGGUGUUCGGCUGCCGGGGCUCUUCGUCAUCGUCCUCGCUCUCUGAUUCCCCUUCCUUGUUUUUGUUGUUUACCUUGCUGGCUUGUUUAAAGACCCGGCAAUCUCUGUUAGUAUGGUUAGCCGGUUUGUCUGGGGUGCCAUGUAUCUGGCAAGGACGAUCGAGUAUGCGGUCCGAGCUGGAUGGUCAUCCGCUGCUCCUUUUAUAGGGCUUCUUCCGUUGGCCGGACUUGGAGCCAGUGAAUCCGGCGUUGACCGUGGUGUCAUCGGUGUUGUUGCCAUUGCUUCGGCGUUUGUGUCUAUUGCGCCGGAGCUUGCUAGCGCUAUUCUUGGCCUCAGAAGGGCCUGUCUCGCUGGUUGUGUUGUUACUACGGGCGAGCCAACUGUCCUCUCCCGCGCAAAAGCGGGUCAUGAGUGCCGUGAGGGCUGCCAUGGACUUCGGCUUUUCUUGGCCGAGGUGGCGUGCUAGCCAUUUGUCACGGAUGCUGUGUUUGAAGGCUGCUAAGGCCUCGGCAUCCGGACAGUCAACGAUCUGUUUCUUUUUGGUUAGGAACCUAGUCCAGAAUUUUCUGGCUGAUUCUCCAGGUUGUUGAACUAUGUGGCUUAAGUCAUCGGCGUCUGGUGGCCAGACAUAAGUUCCUUGGAAGUUAUCAAAGAAAGCCUCUUCCAAGUCCUCCCAGCUGCCGAUGGAGUUUUCAGGCAGACUAUUUAGCCAGUGUCGAGCUGGCCCUUUAAGUUUUAAUGGGAGGUAUUUGAUGCCGUGGAGGUCAUCUCCUCGCGCCAUAUGGAUAUGGAGAAUAAAAUCCUCGAUCCAUACUUCAGGAUCGGUUGUGCCGUCGUAUGAUUCAAUGUUGACAGGCUUGAACCCUUUGGGGAAUUCGUGAUCCAGCACCUCGUCUGUGAAGCAGAGAGGGUGUGCGGCGCCUCUAUAGCGGGCCGCAUCGCGGCGGAGCUCUGAUGGAGUCCGUCUGCGGCAUUCGGCCCGGGCGUGGUUAGGUUUAUCACGUCCGGAUAGGUAGCCAUCGUCGUGCCUCGAGGCAUGGCCUCGCGAUCCGUAGAUCGAUCUUCUAUGUCCUGCUCUACUGCCCAGGGUUUGCCGGAGGUCGUAUGUAUGGCUCCGGACUCUUCCGUCCCUAUUUUGACGGGGUGGUGGGGCGGUCUGCUGUUCGGCCUGAGUUGCCGCUUUAUCCCGACCGCGGGGUGGCUGUUCGGCCGCCCUGUCUCGACCACGUGGUGGUCGUUACGCAUUACGCGAGGGAGAUAUGUGCUCCAGCGCCUCCUCAUCGAGUUGAGGCAGCAGUCUGCGUUUCGGGUAGCUCUUGGUUGGGUGCUUGAGGGCCGUAUUCCUCGGCUGCCAGGACAUCAGUCCAUUUGUCGACGAGCAGGUCUUGUUCAGCUUGAAGCUGCUGCCGUUUCUUUUUCAGGCUCCUGGCCGUGGCUAUGAGCUGAAGCUUAAAGCGCUCCUGCUCGAGAGGAUCCUCGGGCACGAUGAAGUCUUCGUUGCCAAGGCUUGUCUCCUCCUCGGAGGGUGGACGGUAACUAUCAUCCUCCGAGUUGUCUUCUAUGGCCUGUUCGUCAGGGUUGUCUUGCCUGCUGUCAUGUUCCUGUUCGGAUGUAGCCCCGACAGGGUCUUCAUUGUUUUCGGCGUCGCCGGAGUACUAUUUUCUCCGGUGCCAGUGUUGCCGUCCUUUGAGCGACGGGGCUUAGAGCGGCGUUUGGGCCGCCGGCGCUUGGAAUGCGUCUCGGAGGUUUUAUUCGCAUCUGGCUCUUCUUUGUCGUCGCCAGAUCCUUUAGGUGUAUCAACCAUGUACACGUCAUACGUAGAGGUAGCCGUCCAACGCCCAGUGAAUGGCGGGUCUUGGCCUUGCUCCUUGUCGGCAUCGUCGUCCAUACCGUCGAUCUCUUCGGAGCCAUAGUCAAGCACAUCGGUUAAGUCAUCGACGGUGGCUAUGAAGUGGGUGGCGGGUGGGAAGCAAAAUUCCUCAUCAUCCGUCUCUAGCUCGAACCGGACAUAGUUCGGUUGUGAGUCCUUCUCCAAGGACAAAUUCUUUAAAGAUUUUAGCACGUCACCCAAAGGCGAGUGCUGGAAAACGCCAGCGGCGCCGAACUCGAAGAUCGAUAACCGAUCUAGCUCGGUGUCCGCGGGCGUACACAGUCCGGAACUUAUAGCCGGAGACAAGUCCAAAGUUCCGUUAAAGCGAAUAUUGCAGGGCGUUGAGUCCAUGUGCGGCUCCAACGCCGUAGACUCUACGGCCUCGGACGGCACGAUCUGCUUUGGCCCUAAGGCCGGUGCAGCUGCGGGAACCACCUCCUGGGUGUGAUUCGAUGACAGAUUUAAGUCACGUUCAUCGGGGUAAGGGGGAGUGAUCGCCGCGUGCUCAAAUCCCUCGGAGGUCAAGUCUCCACGGGUAUCCGCAACGUAGUUCAAGCUUCCGAAUCCGACCUGAUGGCCAGGGGCGUAGCUGUCGAUCUGCUCCAGAUGGCCAAGUGAGUUGGCCCGCAGUACGAAGCCACCAAAUACGAAGAUCUGUCCGGGGAGGAAGGUUCCUCCUUAACGGCGUCGUUAUUGACGAUUGAAGGGGCCAUCAAACCUUUUGUCGACGGCACAGUGGAACUCUCAAUGAAAGCACCAAUGUCGGUGUCAAAACCGGCGGAUCUCGGGUAGGGGGUCCCGAACUGUGCGUCUAGGAUCAAUGGUAACAGGAGACGGGGGACACUAUGUUUACCCAGGUUCGGGCACUCUCUAUGGAGGUAAUACCCUACUUCCUGCUUGAUUGAUUUUGAUGAAUAUGAGUGUUACAAGAGUUGAUCUACCACGAGAUCGUAAUGGCUAAACCCUAGAAUCCUAGCCUAUAUGUAUAUGGUAAUGAAUGUGUCCUAUCCGGACUAUGCUCUCCGGUUUAUAUAGACACCGGAGAGAUCUAGGGUUACAUGGGGUCGGUUACAUAAGAAGGAAUCUUCAUAGUCGGUCGCCAAGCUUGCCCUCCACGCCAAGUAGAGUCCAAUCCGGACACGGUGCAGUCUUCCGCCUUCAUGUCUUCACAGCCCAUCAGUCCGGCCCAUGGAUAGCAGGCCGGACGCCCGAGGACCCCUUAGUCCAGGACUCCCUCAGCGGGUACCGUUAUUUUCUCACCUUCACAGAUGAUUUGACCAGAUAUGGGUAUAUCUACUUGAUGAAACAUAAGUCUGAAACAUUUGAAAAGUUCAAAGAAUUUCAGAGUGAAGUGGAAAAUCAUUGAUACGUCUCCAACGUAUGUAUAAUUUUUUAUUGUUCCAUGCUAUAUUAUAUUCUGUUCUGGAUGUUUAAUGGGAUUUAUUAUACACUUUUAUAUUAUUUUUGGGACUAACCUAUUAACCGGAGGCCCAGCCCAAAUUGCUGUUUUUUUGCCUAUUUCAGAGUUUCGCAGAAAAAGAAUAGCAAACGAAGUCCAAACGGAAUGAAACCUUCAGGAACGUGAUUUUCGGAACAAACGUGAUCCAGAUGACUUGGAGUCCAUGUAAAGAAAGCAACAAGGAGAGCACGAGGCAGGGGGCGCACCUCCCAGGCACGCCCUCCACCCUCGUGGCGCCCAUGUUGCUCCACCGACGUACUUCUUCCUCCUAUAUAUACCUACGUACCCCCAAACCAACAGAAGCAUCCACGAAAACCUAAUUCCACCGCCGCAACCUUCUGUACCCGUGAGAUCCCAUCUUGGGGCCUUUUCCGGCGUCCUGCCGGAGGGGGCAUUGAUCACGGAGGGCUUCUACAUCAACACCAUAGCCCCUCCGAUGAUGUGUGAGUAGUUUACCUCAGACCUUCAGGUCCAUACUUAUUAGCUAGAUGGCUUCUUCUCUCUUUUUGGAUCUCAAUACAAAGUUCUCCACGAUUCUCGUGGAGAUCUAUUCGAUGUAAUCUUCUUUUUUGCGGUGUGUUUGUCGAGACCGAUGAAUUGUGGGUUUAUGACCAAGUUUAUCUAUGAACAAUAUUUGAAUCUUCUCUGAAUUCUUUUAUGUAUGAUUGGUUAUCUUUGCAAGUCUCUUCGAAUUAUCAGUUUGGUUUGGCCUACUAGAUUGAUCUUUCUUGCAAUGGGAGAAGUGCUUAGGUUUGGGUUCAAUCUUGCGGUGUCCUUUCCCAGUGACAGCAGGGGCAGCAAGGCACAUAUUGUAUUGUUGCCAUCGAGGAUAAAAAGAUGGGGUUUAUAUCAUAUUGCAUGAGUUUAUCCCUCUACAUCAUGUCAUCUUACUUAAAGCAUUACUCUGUUCUUAUGAACAUAAUACUCUAGAUGCAUGUUGGAUAGCGGUCGAUGUGUGGAGUAAUAGUAGUAGAUGCAGAAUCGUUUCGGUCUACUUGUCGCGGACGUGAUGCCUAUAUACAUGAUCAUACCUAGAUAUUCUCAUAACUAUGCUCAAUUCUAUCAAUUGCUCGACAGUAAUUUGUUUACCCACCGUAAUACUUAUGCUCUUGAGAGAAGCCACUAGUGAAACCUAUGGCCCCGGGUCUAUUUUCCAUCAUAUUAAUCUUCCAACACUUAGUUAUUUCUAUUGCCGUUUAUUUACUUUGCAUCUCUAUUUACUCUUUAUCAUAAAAAUACCAAAAAUAUUAUCCUAUCAUAUCUAUCAGCUCUCACUCUCGUAAGUGACCAUGAAGGGAUUGACAACCCCUUUAUCGCGUUGGUUGCGAGGUUCUUGUUUGUUUGUGUAGGUGCGUGGGACUCGCGCGUGGUCUCCUACUGGAUUGAUACCUUGGUUCUCAAAAACUGAGGGAAAUACUUACGCUACUUUACUGCAUCACCCUUUCCUCUUCAAGGGAAAACCAACGCAGUGCUCAAGAGGUAGCAAGAAGGAUUUCUCGCGCUGUUGCCGGGGAGUCUACGCACAAGUCAAGACAUACCAAGUACCCAUCACAAACUCAUCUCCCUCGCAUUACAUUAUUUGCCAUUUGCCUCUCAUUUUCCUCUCCCCCACUUCACCCUUGCUGUUUUAUUCGCCCUCUCUUUUCCGUUCGCCUCUUUUCCGCUUGCUUCUUGUUUGCUCGUGUGUUGGAUUGCUUGCUUGUCACGAUGGCUCAAGACAAUACUAAAUUGUGUGACUUUACCAAUACCAACAACAAUGAUUUUCUUAGCACUCCGAUUGCUCCUCUUACUGAUGCUGAGUCUUGUGAAAUAAAUGCUGCUUUGUUGAAUCUUGCCAUGAAAGAUCAAUUCGCCGGCCUUCCUAGUGAAGAUGCCGCUACCCAUUUAAAUAGCUUCGUUGAUUUGUGUGAUAUGAAAAAGAAGAAAGAUGUGGACAAUGAUAUUGUUAAAUUGAAGCUAUUUUCUUUUUCACUUAGAGAUCGUGCCAAAGUUUGGUUUUCGUCUUUGCCUAAAAAUAGCAUUGAUUCAUGGAAUAAGUGCAAAGAUGCUUUUAUCUCUAAGUAUUUUCCUCCCGCUAAAAUCAUCUCUCUUAGAAACGAUAUAAUGAAUUUUAAGCAACUUGAUCAUGAACAUGUUGCACAAGCUUGGGAGAGGAUGAAAUUAAUGAUACGUAAUUGCCCUACACAUGGUUUGAAUCUUUGGAUGAUUAUACAAAAAAUUAUUGCGGAUUGAAUUUUGCUUCUAGAAAUCUUUUAGAUUCGGCCGCGGGAGGCACUUCUAUGCAAAUCACUUUAGGAGAAGCUACUAAACUCCUAGAUAAUAUUAUCGUUAAUUAUUCUCAAUGGCACACCAAAAGAUCUACUAAUAAAAAAGUACAUGCGAUAGAAGAAAUUAAUGUUUUGAGUGGAAAGAUGGAUGAACUUAUGAAAUUAUUUGCUACUAAAAGUUUUUCUUCUGAUCCUAAUGAUAUGCCUUUGUCUACUUUGAUUGACAAUAAUAAUGAAUCUAUGGAUGUGAAUUUUGUUGGUAGGAAUAAUUUUGGUAACAACGCAUAUAGAGGAAACUUUAAUCCUAGGCCGUCCCUACUAAUUCCACUAAUAAUUAUGGUAAUUCCUACAACAACUCUUAUGGAAAUUUUAAUAAGAUGCCCUCUGAAUUUGAGACUAGUGUUAAGGAGUUUAUGAAUUCACAAAAGAAUUUCAAUGCUUUGCUUGAAGAAAAAUUGCUCAAGGUUGAUGAAUUGGCUAGGAACGUUGAUAGAAUUUCUCUUGAUUUUGAUUCUUUGAAACUUAGAUCUAUCCCACCUAAGCAUGAUAUCAAUGAGUCUCUCAAAGCCAUGAGAAUUUCCAUUGAUGAGUGCAAAGAAAGAACCGCUAGGAUGCGUGCCAAGAAAGAUUGCUUUGUAAAAGCAUGUUCUUCUAGUUUUUAUGAGAAUAAAGAUAAAUAUAUCUAAAAGUUAUUGAUGUGUCCCCUAUUAAAUAUUUGUUUUGCAAUAUGAAUCUUGAUAAUGAUGGGACUGGAUAUGAGCCACCUUUACCUAGAAGGCGUCCCAAAAAUUUGGAGUUUUAGAUCUUGAUGCAAAAAUUGGUAAAAGUGGGAUUGAAGAGAUCAAAACUUUAGAUAUUAAUGAACCCACUAUUUUGGAUUUGAAGGAAUUUAAUUAUGAUAAUUUCUCUUUGAUAGAUUGUAUUUCCUUGUUGCAAUCCGUGCUAAAUUCUCCUCCUGCUUAUAGCCAAAAUAAAGCUUUCCUAAACAUAUCGUUGAUGCUUGGAUGCAAUCUUACGAAUAAAAACUUGAGUUGGAAGUUUCUAUCCCUAGAAAACUUUAUGAUGAGUGGGAACCUACUAUUAAAAUUAAAAUUAAAGAUCAUGAAUGCUAUGCUUUGUGUGAUUUGGGUGCUAGUGUUUCCACGAUUCCAAAAACUUUGUGUGAUUUGUUAGGUUUUCGCGAAUUUGAUGAUUGCUCUUUAAACUUGCACCUUGCGGAUUCCACUAUUAAGAAACCUAUGGGAAGAAUUAAUGAUGUUCUUAUUGUUGCAAAUAGGAACUAUGUGCCCGUAUAUUUCAUUGUUCUUGACAUAGAUUGCAAUCCUUCAUGUCCUAUUAUUCUUGGUAGACCUUUCCUUAGAACGAUUGGUGCAAUUAUUGAUAUGAAGGAAGGGAACAUUAGAUUCCAAUUUCCAUUAAGGAAAGGCAUGGAACACUUCCCUAGAAAGAAAAUAAAAUUACCUUAUGAAUCUAUUAUGAGAGCCACUUAUAGAUUGCCUACCAAAGAUGGCAAUACCUAGAUCUAUCCUUGCUUUUAUGCCUAGCUAGGGGCGUUAAACGAUAGCGCUUGUUGGGAGGCAACCCAAUUUUAUUUUUAGUUUUUUUUUUGCUUUUUGCUUCUGUUUAGGAAAAAAUAUUUGAUCUAGCUUCUGUUUAGAUUUGUUUUUAUGUUUUAAUUAGUGUUUGUGCCAAGUUAAACCUAUAGGAUCUUCUUGGAUGAUAGUUAUUUGAUCUUGCUGAAAAUUCCAGAAACUUUCUGUUCACGAAAACAAUUGUUAAAAAUCACCAGAACAUGAUAAAAUACUGAUUCCAAUUGCAGCAGAUCAAUAAACAAAUUGUCUAGGCCGUCCUAUUUUGGCAGAUGUUUUUUGAGUUCCAGAAGUUCGCGUUAGUUACAGAUUACUACAGACUGUUCUGUUUUUGACAGAUUCUGUUUUUCGUGUGUUGUUUGCUUAUUUUGAUGAAUCUAUGGCUAGUAAAAUAGUUUAUAAACCAUAGAUAAGUUGGAGUACAGUAGGUUUAACACCAAUAUAAAUAAAGAAUUAGUUCAUUACAGUACCUUGAAAUGGUAUUUUGCUUUUUUUUCGCUAACGGAGCUCACGAGAUUUUCUACUAAGUUUUGUGUAGUGAAGUUUUCAAGUUUUGGGUAAAAGAUUUGAUGGAUUAUGGAAUAAGGAGUGGCAAGAGCCUAAGCUAGGGGAUGCCCAUGGCACCCCAAGAUAAUCUAAGGACACCAAAAAGCCAAAGCUUGGGGAUGCCCCGGAAGGCAUCCCCUCUUUCGUCUACUUCCAUCGGUAACUUUACUUGGAGCUAUAUUUUUAUUCACCACAUGAUAUGUGUUUUGCUUGGAGCGUCUUGUAUGAUUUGAGUCUUUGCUUUUUAGUUUACCACAAUCAUCCUUUCUGUACACACCUUUUGAGAGAGAGACACAAAUCGGAAUUUAUUAGAAUACUCUAUGUGCUUCACUUAUAUCUUUUGAGCUAUAUAGUUUUUGCUCUAGUGCUUCACUUAUAUCUUUUAGAGCACGGUGGUGGAUUUGUUUUAUAGAAACUAUUGAUCUCUCAUGCGUCACUUAUAUUAUUUUGAGAGUCUUGAAACAGCAUGGCAGUUUGCUUUAAUUAUAAUAUCAUGAGAAAUUUUAUGCUUGAUAAUUGUUUUGAGAUAUAAAGGUGGUAAUAUCAUAGUUGUGCUAGUUGAGUAAUUGUGAAAUUGAGAAAUACUUGUGUUGGAGUUUGUGAUUCCCGUAGCAUGCACGUAUGGUGAACUGUUAUGUAACGAAGUCGGAGCAUGAGGUAUUUGUUGAUUGUCAUCCUUUGUGUGGCGGUCGGGAUCGCGCGAUGGUUAACUCCUACCAACCCUUCCCCUAGGAGCAUGCGUAGUAGUACUUUGCUUCGAGGGCUAAUAAAUUUUUGCAAUAAGUAUAUGAGUUCUUUAUGACUAAUGUGAGUCCAUGGAUUAUACGCACACUUACCUUUCCGCAAUUUUCUAGCCUCUUCGGUACCGUGCAUUGCCCUUUCUCACCUUGAGAGUUGGUGCAAACUUCGCCGGUGCAUCCAAACCCCGUGACAUGAUACGCUCUAUCACACAUAAAACUCCUUAUACCUUCCUCAAAGCAGCCACCAUACCUACCUAUUAUGGCAUUUCCAUAGCCAUUCCGAGAUAUAUUGCCAUGCAACUUUCCACCGUUUCGUUUAUCAUGACAUGCUCCAUCAUUGUCAUAUUGCUUUGCAUGAUCAUGUCGUUGACAUCGUAUUUGUGGCAAAGCCACCGUUCAUAAUUCUUUCAUACAUGUCACUCUUGAUUCAUUGCAUAUCCCGGUACACCGCCGGAGGCAUUCACAUAGAGUCAUAUCUUGUUCUAAGUAUUGAGUUGUAAUUCAUGAGUUGUAAGUAAAUAAAAGUGUGAUGAUCAUUAUUAUUAGAGCAUUGUCCCAAGUGAGGAAUGGAUGAUGGAGACUAUGAUUCCCCCACAAGUCGCGAUGAGACUCCAGACAAAAAAAAAGAGGCCAAAAAAAGGCCCAAAUAAAAAAAUGAGAGAAAAAGAGAGAAGGGAUAAUGUUACUAUCAUUUUACCACACUUGUGCUUCAAAGUAGCACCGUGAUCUUCAUGAUAGAGAGUCUCUCAUUUUGUCACUUUCAUAUACUAGUGGGAAAUUUCAGUAUAGAACUUGGCUUGUAUAUUCCAAUGAUGGGCUUCCUCAAAUGCCCGAGGUCUUCGUGAGCAAGCAAGUUGGAUGCACACACACUUAGAUUCUUUUGUUUGAGCUUUCAUACACUUAUAGCUCUAGUGCAUCCGUUGCACGGCAAUCCCUACUCCUUGCAUUGACAUCAAUUGAUGGGCAUCUCCAUAGCCCGUUGAUUAGCCUCGUCGAUGUGAGACUUUCUCCUUUUUUGUCUUCCCACAUAACCCCUAACAUUAUACCUUAUUCCACCAUAGUGCUAUAUCCAUGGCUUGCGCUCAUGUAUUGCGUAAAAGUUGAAAAGGCUGAAGCGCGUUAAAGAGUAUGAACCAAUUGCUUGGCUAAAACCGGGGUUGUACAUGAUAUGAAUAUUUUGUGUGGGGAAGAUGGAGCAUAGCCAGACUAUAUGAUUUUGUAGGGAUAACUUGCUUUGGCUAUGUUAUUUUGAUAAGACAUAAUUACUUGGUUAGCAUGCUUGAAGUAUUAUUGUUUUUAUGUCAAUAUUAAACUUUUAUCUUGAAUCAUAUCGAAACUGAACAUUCAUGCCACAAUAAGAAGAACUACAUUGAAAUUAUGCUAAGUAGCAUUCCACAUCAAAAAUUCUGUUUCUAUCAUCUACCUACUCAAGGACGAGCAGGAAUUAAGCUUGGGGAUGCUUAAUACGUCUCCAACGUAUCUAUAAUUUUUUAUUGUUCCAUGCUAUAUAUAUUCUGUUUUGGAUGUUUAAUGGGCUUUAUUAUACACUUUUAUAUUAUUUUUGGGACUAACCUAUUAACCGGAGGCCCAGCCCAAAUUGCUGUUUUUUUGCCUAUUUCAGAGUUUUGCAGAAAAAGAAUAUCAAACGUAGUCCAAACGGAAUGAAACCUUCGGGAACGUGAUUUUCGGAACAAACGUGAUCCAGAGGACUUGGAGUCCAUGUAAAGAAAGCAACAAGGAGAGCACGAGGCAGGGGCGCGCCUACCCCCCUCCAGGCGCGCCCUCCACCCUCGUGGGGCCCACGUUGCUCCACCGACGUACUUCUUCCUCCUAUAUAUACCUACGUACCCCCAAACCAAGAGAAGCAUCCACGAAAACCUAAUUCCACCGCCGCAACCUUCUGUACCCGUGAGAUCCCAUCUUGGGGCCUUUUCCGGCGUCCUGCCGGAGGGGGCAUUGAUCACGGAGGGCUUCUACAUCAACACCAUAGCCCCUCCGAUGAUGUGUGAGUAGUUUACCUCAGACCUUCGGGUCCAUAGUUAGUAGCUAGAUGGCUUCUUAUCUCUUUUUGGAUCUCAAUACAAAGUUCUCCACGAUUCUCGUGGAGAUCUAUUCGAUGUAAUCUUCUUUUUGUGGUGUGUUUGUCGAGACCGAUGAAUUGUGGGUUUAUGAUCAAGUUUAUCUAUGAACAAUAUUUGAAUCUUCUCUGAAUUCUUUUAUGUAUGAUUGGUUAUCUUUGCAAGUCUCUUCGAAUUAUCAGUUUGGUUUGGCCUACUAGAUUGAUCUUUCUUGCAAUGGGAGAAGUGCUUAUCUUUGGGUUCAAUCUUGCGGUGUCCUUUCCCAGUGACAGCAUGGGAAGCAAGGCACGUAUUGUAUUGUUGCCAUCGAGGAUAAAAAGAUGGGGUUUAUAUCAUAUUGCAUGAGUUUAUCCCUCUACAUCAUGUCAUCUUACUUAAAGCAUUACUCUGUUCUUAUGAACUUAAUACUCUAGAUGCAUGCUGGAUAGCGGUCGAUGUGUGGAGUAAUAGUAGUAGAUGUAGAAUCGUUUCGGUCUACUUGUCGCGGACGUGAUGCCUAUAUACAUGAUCAUACCUAGAUAUUCUCAUAACUAUGCUCAAUUCUAUCAAUUUCUCGACAGUAAUUUGUUUACCCACCGUAAUACUUAUGCUCUUGAGAGAAGCCACUAGUGAAACCUAUGGCCCCCGGGUCUAUUUUCCAUCAUAUUAAUCUUCCAACACUUAGUUAUUUCUAUUGCCGUUUAUUUUACUUUGCAUCUCUAUUUACUCUUUAUCAUAAAAAUACCAAAAAUAUUAUCCUAUCAUAUCUAUCAGAUCUCACUCUCGUAAGUGACCGUGAAGGGAUUGACAACCCCUUUAUCGUGUAGGUUGUGAGGAUCUUGUUUGUUUGUGUAGGUGCGUGGGACUCGCGCGUGGUCUCCUACUGGAUUGAUACCUUGGUUCUCAAAAACUGAGGGAAAUACUUACGCUACUUUACUGCAUCACCCUUUCCUCUUCAAGGGAAAACCAACGCAGUGCUCAAGAGGUAGCAAUCAUCAUAACAAGAAAAUAAAGUUUCUACGAUCUGAUCGUGGAGGAGAAUAUUUGAGUUACGAGUUUGGUCUUCAUUUGAAACAAUGCAGAACAGUUUCGCAACUCACGCCACCCGGAACAUCACAUCGCAAUGGUGUGUUCGAACGUCGUAAUCGUACUUUGCUGGAUAUGGUGCGAUCUAUGAUGCCUCUUACUGAUUUACCGCUAUCAUUUUGGGGUUAUGCUUUAGAGACGGCUGCAUUCACGUUAAAUAUGGCACCAUCUAAAUCCAUUGAGACGACACCUUAUGAACUGUGGUUUGGCAAGAAACCCAAGUUGUUGUUUCUUAAAGUUUGGGGCUGCGAUGCUUAUGUGAAAAAGCUUCAACCUGAUAAGCUCGAACCCAAAUCGGAGAAAUGUGUCUUCAUAGGAUACCCAAAGGAGACUGUUGGGUACACCUUCUAUCACAGAUCCGAAGGCAAGACAUUCGUUGCUAAGAAUGGAUCCUUUCUAGAGAAGGAGUUUCUCUCGAAAGAAGUGAGUGGGAGGAAAGUAGAACUUGAUGAGGUAAGUGUACCUGCUCCCUUAUUGGAAAGUAGUUCAUCACAGAAAUCUGUUCCUGUGACUCCUACACCAAUUAGUGAGGAAGCUAAUGAUGAUGAUCAUGUAACUUCAGAUCAAGUUACUACCGAACCUCGUAGGUCAACGAGAGUAAGAUCCGCACCAGAGUGGUACGGUAAUCCUGUUCUGGAGGUCAUGUUACUUGACCAUGACGAACCUACGAACUAUGAGGAAGCGAUGAUGAGCCCAGAUUUCGCGAAAUGGCUUGAGGCCAUGAAAUCUGAGAUGGGAUCCAUGUAUGAGAACAAAGUGUGGACUUUGUUGACAUUCCUGAUGAUCGGCAAGCCAUCGAGAAUAAAUGGAUCUUCAAGAAGAAGACUGACGCUGACGGUAAUGUUACUGUCUACAAAGCUCGACUAGUUGCGAAAGGUUUUCGACAAGUUCAAGGAGCUGACUAUGAUGAGACCUUCUCACCCGUAGCGAUGCUUAAGUCCGUCUGAAUCAUGUUAGCAAUUGUUGCAUUUUAUGAUUAUGAAAUUUGGCAAAUGGAUGUAAAGACUGCAUUCCUGAAUGGAUUUCUGGAAGAAGAGUUGUAUAUGAUGCAACUUGAAGGUUUUAUCGAUCCAAAGGAUACUAGCAAAGUGUGCAAGCUCCAGCGAUCCAUUUAUGGACUAGUACAAGCAUCUCGGAGUUGCAAUAAACUUUUUGAUAGUGUGAUCAAAGCAUAUGGUUUUAUACAGAAUUUUGGAGAAGCCUGUAUUUACAAGAAAGUGAGUGGGAGCUCUCUAGCAUUUCUAAUAUUAUAUGUGGAUGACAUAUUAUUGAUUGGAAAUGAUAUAGAAUUUCUGGAUAGCAUAAAAGGAUACUUGAACAAGAGUUUUUCAAUGAAUGACCUCGGUGAAGCUGCUUAUAUAUUAGGCAUCAAGAUCUAUAGAGAUAGUUCAAGACGCCUAAUUGGACUUUCACAAAGCGCAUACCUUGAUAAAGUUUUGAAGAAGUUCAAAAUGGAUCAAGCAAAGAAAGGGUUCUUGCAUGUGUUACAAGGUGUGAAGUUGAGUCAGACUCAAUGCCCGACCACUACAGAAGAUAGAGAGAAAAUGAAAGGUGUUCCCUAUGCUUCAGCCACAGGCUCUAUCAUGUAUGCAAUGUUGUGUACCAGACCUGAUGUGUGCCUUGAUAUCAGUUUAGCAGGGAGGUACCAAAGUAAUCCAGGAGUGGAUCACUAGACAGCGGUCAAGAACAUCAUGAAAUACCUGAAAAGGACUAAGGAUAUGUUUCUCGUUUAUGGAGGUGACAAAGAGCUCGUCGUAAAUGGUUAGAUCGAUGCAAGCUUUGACACUGAUCUGGAUGACUCUAAGUCACAAACCGGAUACGUGUUUAUAUUGAACGGUGGAGCUGUUAGUUGGUGCAGUUCUAAGCAAAGCGUCGUGGCGGGAUCUAUGUGUGAAGCAGACUACAUAGCUACUUCGGAAGCAGCAAAUGAAGGAGUCUAGAUGAAGGAGUUCAUAUCCUAUCUAGGUGUCAUACCUAGUGCAUCGGGUCCAACGAAGACUUUUUGUGACAACACUGGUGCAAUGGCCUUGUCAAAGGAAUCCAGAUUUCACAAGAGAACCAAGCACAUCAAGAGACGCUUCAAUUCCAUCCGCGAUCAAGUCAAGGAGGGAGACAUAGAGAUUUGCAAGAUACAUACGUAUUUGAAUGUUGCAGACCCGUUGACUAAGCCUCUCUCACGAGCAAAACAUGAUCAGCACCAAGACUCCAUGGGUGUUAGAAUCAUUACUGUGUAAUCUAGAUUAUUGACUCUAGUGCAAGUGGGAGACUGAAGGAAAUAUGCCCUAGAGGCAAUAAUAAAGUUGUUAUUUAUAUUUCCUUAUAUCAUGAUAAAUGUUUAUUAUUCAUGCUAGAAUUGUAUUAACCGGAAACUUAGUACAUGUGUGAAUACAUAGACAAACAAAGUGUCACUAGUAUGCCUCUACUUGACUAGCUCGUUGAAUCAAAGAUGGUUAAGUUUCCUAGCCAUAGACAUGAGUUGUCAUUUGAUUAACGGGAUCACAUCAUUAGAGAAUGAUGUGAUUGACUUGACCCAUUCCGUUAGCUUAGCACUUGAUCGUUUAGUAUAUUGCUAUUGCUUUCUUCAUGACUUGUACAUGCUCCUAUGACUAUGAGAUUAUGCAACUCCCGAAUACCAGAGGAACACUUUGUGUGCUACCAAACAUCACAACGUAACUGGGUUAUUAUAAAGGUGCGUUAUAGGUGUCUCCGAUGGUACUUGUUGAGUUGGUAUAGAUCGAGAUUAGCAUUUGUCACUCCGAUUGUGGGAGAGGUAUCUCUGGGCCCUCUCGGUAAUGCACAUCACUAUAAGCCUUGCAAUCAAUGUGACUAAUGAGUUAGUUGCGGGAUGAUGCAUUACGGAACGGGUAAAGGGACUUGCCAGUAACGAUAUUGAACUAGGUAUUGAGAUACCGACGAUCGAAUCUCGGGCAAGUAACAUACUGAUGACAAAGGGAACAACGUAUUUUGUUAUGCGGUUUGACCAAUAAAGAUCUUCGUAGAAUAUGUGGGAGCCAAUAUGAGCAUCCAGGUUCCGCUAUUGGUUAUUGACCAGAGACGUGUCUCGGUCAUGUCUACAUAGUUCUCGAACCCGUAGGGUCCGCACGCUUAAUGUUCGGUGACGAUCGGUUUAUGAGUUUAUGUGUUUUGAUGUACCGAAGGUAGUUCAGAGUCCCGGAUAUGAUCACUGACAUGACGAGGAGUCUUGAAAUGGUCGAGACAUAAAGAUCGAUAUAUUGGAAGCCUAUGUUUGGACAUCGGAAUGGUUUCGGAAGAGUUCGGGCAUUUACCGGAGUACCGGGAGGUUACCGGAACCCCCCGGGGAGUCAAUGGGCCUUAAUGGGCCAUAGUGGAAAGGAGGAGGAGGAGGCCAAGGUGGGGGCGCCCCCCCCCCCCAAAGCCCAAUCCGAAUUGGGAGGGGGGCCGGCCCCCCUUUCCUUCUCCCCCUUCCUUCCCUCUCCUACUCCAACUAGGGAAGGGGGAAUCCUACUCCCACCGGAAGUAGGACUCCCCCCUUGGGCGCGCCUAGGAGGCCGACCGUCUCCCCCUCCUCCACUCCUUUAUAUACGGGGGAGGGGCACCCCAUAGACACACAAGUUGAUCAUUGAUCUUUUAGCCGUGCGCGGUGCCCCCUCCACCAUAAUCCACCUCGGUCAUAUCGUUGCAGUACUUAGGCGAAGCCCUGCGCCGAUAGCUUCAUCAUCACCGUCAUCACACCAUCAUGCUGACGAAGCUCUCCCUUGACACUCUGUGGAUCGUGAGUUCGUGGGACGUCACCGAGCUGAACGUGUUCAGAUCACGGAGGUGCCGUACUUUUGGUACUAGGAUCGGUCGAUCGUGAAGACGUACGACUACAUCAACUGCGUUGUCAUAACGCUUCCGCUUACGGUCUAUGAGGGUAUGUGGACAACACUCUCCCCUCUCGUUGCUAUGCAUCACCAUGAUCUUGCGUGUGCGUAGGAUUUUUUUUGAAAUUACUACGUUCCCCAACAUCCAACCCAUCGAUGCAUCGACCAAAGCAACACAAGACAAAUUAUCCACGGGAAUGACUUCUACUUCAUCAUCCACCCAAUGUAUUAAGAACCGAUGCAUGGUUGAUGACACACAUUGGUUAGCAUGAACCAUUCGCGGCCUAAUAUAACAUUAUAGUUACCUUGCACCUCGGCGAUGAAGAAUGUGGCGGCCAAAGUUUUGCUUCCCACAGUAAGUUCCAUGCACAUCACACCUUUGGCCUCUGUCUUUUCUUUACCCUCAAUCCAUUAAGCACCAUAUUGGUCUUCAUCAAUGCAUCGUCAUGUAAUCCCAACUUCUUGAAGACCGAGUAGGGCAUAAAAUUUACCACAGCACCACCAUCAACGAGCAUCCUAGCAAUUGGCGAUCCGUUAAUAUGACCUUUGAGGUACAAUGGCUUCAAGUGUUUCACUGGUUCUUUUGGUUUCUCGAAGAUAGCAUUCUUAGGACCAAAAUCUAGCCGGGCCACCUCCCCCUAUUCACCUAUAGCACGAAACUCGGUAGGUAAGUAAUACGCCAUAUUAAUAUCCAUACCUCCCUGAAUGGACAUAAAUUCGUAAUCCACCAUCUCAUCUUCAUCUCCCAAUGUGUAUAUUGGACUUGAAGUUUCCUCAAUUAAAGGGGAUGAUUCAGGUGGUGUGGACGAUGUAAUAGGGACCACAUCAUCCUCUUUGGUGGUGUAGGUGAUGCUGUAGUUAAUGUAAAAGCAUAUGUGUUUCCUUUUGGUUUAGGCUCCCACACUUGUUGUGUGGAUGCCACUGGCCGAAUUUCAUUUAACAAUUCGUCACUUUGCUCCUCUACAUCAUGUGUCGCCUUCUUGUGGUUGCUCAUGCGUUGCAAUCUCCUUUUCAUGGUCUUAGUUAAUCCGGGAGGACACCACUUAGGUUGAGUAUAUUUGGCAUCCCUAGGCUUGGCCUUGCUUGGAGAAUUUUGUGUUGACCGAUUAGCACCAUGGCUUGAACGACCUUGUGUAGGAUAAUAAAGCCUCUCGUGAGCAGGCCUUCUAGGUGCUGCCCACCCCAUAUGAAAAGCAUAAGGAGCCAUUGGGGGCUGCCCCCAUCCUCCAUUGAAGUCUCCCAUGUAAUAUGGCGCAUAGGGGGGCGGCGACAUCCACUGUGUCGGUGUCCAUGACCCAUAUGGCCUUGCAUAGCAUCGAAAUUCUUGCUUCGGAGGUGAUCUUGAAUGCCUCGAAUGUGAUGGUUGAUUAGAGCUAGAACUGGCCGCUUGAUUGGCAUAUUUGGAUAGCAACAUAUCAAAAGUUGGCUUGAUUCGCUUGUGCUUAGCUUCAGUCUUUUUCCACUUGCCAACUUCUGAAUUCUUGGGCUUGAUAAAUUUAACAUGACUAUCCCGUUGUACUUGUGGUUGCCCCCCGGUUGAAGCAAUUUUAUGGUGAUCUUCAAUACCUCCUUGCCAUUGGGUUGCUUAUCAAGCACAACCUCCCUUCCCAAGACUUUGUCACCCUCCUCGCCUUUCCUGGGUUCACCAACAACAACAUUAUCUUUAUUAGCAGAUUCGGCUAUGUUAGGCCAAAUUAACAUUUUCUUCCCACCCAAGUCCAUGGUGUUUACCGGGAAGGGUUGUUUAUCAACUUGCAUCAUGGAAAAAUACAAUUGGCCAUCAUUAAUGGCCGAUUGUAUCUUCAUCGAAAAACAUUGCAAUCAUUAGUAGCAUGAGAAAAUGAAUUAUGGUACUUGCAAUAUGCACGCUGUUUCAGCUCCUCAAACGACGGUAUGGUGUGUUAUAUUCUAAUCAUCUUAUCUUGCAAGAGGGCAUCAAAUAUUUUAUCACACUUAGAUAUAUAAAAAGUAAACUUGAUCUCCUCAUCACAAUUCUUGCGAAUCGGCUUAAGAGCAUUGCAUGUAUAGGGUUUUGCCUUUGAGGACCAAACAAACUCAGUAGUAUAGACAUCAACCUCAUCAUCCGAAUUAUCAUCAUUGUAUUCAACCAUAUGCAUUCUAGGACCAUCGUUGGUAGACCUAUGAACCUCUUUACUUCGACUCUCUUGAGCCAAAGCUUUUUGUAAGACUUUGUUAAUAUUCAAAAACCCAUAAUUUUCUAGCCUCUCUUUAAUGUGAGUUUUUAAACCAUUAAGAACAAGAUCGGCCAAGUCUCUUUCGGUUAUCACUAAGUUAUAACAUCGGUUUUUUUAUAUCUCUAAACCUCUUGACAUAAUUGGUAAUUGAUUCAUCAUGUUUUUGCCUAAUCGAUGUAAGAUGUGACAACUUAAGCUCAUUAUCGCCGCUAUAAAAGUGAUCAUGAAACGUUUGCUCUAAUUGCAACCAUAAGAGAAUUGAACCGUGCGGUAAAGCGGCAAACCAUGAAAAUGCGGUGCCAGUUAAAGAUAAGGGAAAUAAAUGCACUUUCAAUUCUUCUAUGGAACCUGCUUCACCUAACUGCGCUAGAUACUGACUGACAUGCUCCCAUGUUGUUUUCGUGCCCUCUCCACUAAAUUUAACAGAAUCAGGAAUCUUGUAACCUUGAGUGUACAAAGCUGCAUCAAAGUGUUCAGGAUAACACUUUUGGUACACACAACUCUUUACUUUCGGCUCAUUUUCGGAAGUUUCUAGAAACAUCUUAUACAAAUCCUCCCUUAAUUUGGCUAAAAUUGGAUCCGAGGUAGAUGAAGAUGCUUGUGGCGAUGACAUAAGAGCCACCUGAUUACUAGCUAAUGGUGCAACUUGUGGGAUUGGCGCCGCGGAAGAUCAAACAUGCUUGUGCCUAUGCGUGGUAUGACAAAGUGAUUCGGCAUUGACGCCAAAUAGGGAACUCUCAUAAUAGGAUUAGGAUAUGUAGGUGCAACCACAAGCUGGUUGGUUUGACUAGGGUAAGAAUUCACCAGCAUACCAUAUUGUUGUUGCAUAGGAGGUGCCGAUGAAAUAGGUAAAGUUGGACUAGGAUUUUCAGAUAUACCAACAGUACCACUAGAUGACGGAGGCAUAUUUUUCUAAGCAUUAUCACUUGCUACGAAAGAAUUUUAUGUCAUCACAUUACCCUUACUAACAAGACUUUCAAUCACAACCACUUGCUCUGGAGAAAAAACUUUACUCACGGUGAUUUCAUCUUGUUCGUCAAUGAGAGGAGGGAAAUUGACGUUUCCGACCAUAGUGAUGUUGCAUUGACGGUCCUUCUUGAAACUUGCAAGAAACGCCUCCAAAUCCUCCUCCUCGCGCUUCUUCUUGAGCGCCUCAAAAACCUCUUCACGUCGCUUCUUAUGCGUUUCAUAGGCUUGGCGAUGUUCCUCUGAUAGUUCAUCAAGACUGGGUUUAAUGAUGUUAUCGGCGUCAACUUCUGAGGUCUUGGGGAGAUUAGACUUGGUUGAUGAUGAUUCUUGAUCUUUCCUCUCUAGCGGAGUCGCCAAAAAGUGUGUUCGCACACGAACACGUCACCGUGUACCUCCAAGGCCGAGGGUGAUCCACCGCAACUCACGCCGAAGGAGACCCGCCCAGAAGCGCGGUACGCAAGCAAUCCGACAGAUGCUUUUGAGGACCCGAAACCCCACACGCCUGGGAGCGACCCUGCUUGGAGGCACGGCGGCUAUGGGCUGCCCUAGGUCGAUUCACUCGCCCCUAGAGCCUCCAGGAUCGGCCCUUCAACACGAAGAACGAGAGAGAAAGAACAAGGGAGAGAUGUAAAAAAGUAGUAUAUUGAUUUGUCGAUUGUGUGUUGUUCAAUCGGCCGUCACCUCUCAUCUGUUUAUGAGGCGGUUGGAUUUCCCGUACAUGAAAAGGACUAAAAUCCCAUCCAAAACAUUAAAAAUCCUAACCUAACUCGGACAGGAAUCUUUGACAAUUUUUGGGAUCAACUCGAAGCCACCGAGUGGUUUGCUACGGUCCCAUCGAGAGAACGUGGACAACCUUCUGUAAUCUUGUGUAUCUCACUCGGAAUUUCUGAGUGGUUUCACUCGGAAUUACCAAGUCAACUCAGUCUCACCGAGUCAAAUCAACUUGGUCGGUCCGAAAUGACUAAGCAGCUUCUGUUUUGGUUGCAUACGAUCUCGUAUUAAGACGAAUUUAUAUGAAAAUCGACCGUUUCAACGAGACGCACAACUUUGAUGUCUUUUUGCAUCCGAGGCCAUAUUAACUGAGUAUCAUGCCAUUUAAGAAUCUGAUGUCAAGACGAGCAUUUGUGAAAUUGUCGUAAUUUUUGCAUCCGAGCUCUGUUUUGUACCAUCUCCGUAUCCAUUUUGAUCUUCUUGAAGAGAGCCACUCGAAGGUGACUUCCAAUCAUAAGUUUGAAUUAAUCUUGACAUAACUUUAAGCUACUUUUAUGAUUGUGUCACUUUUUAGCGUCAACACCCUGUAUGAACCGAAGCAAAAUACCCAUGACAAAAGUGCCAUAAUUUGUAGCCAUAAGCUGGUAACCACAGCAUGAACAUCCUGCUAACUAUAGUUGUGUCAUAAUUGUAACUAUACCAUCGACGACUCAUAACUAUAACCAUGUUGGCCAUGUUGGUAACAAAGUCGGUAAAUCAUAUAAUUAUGGCACCAUGGUAGACCGUGAUCGCUGGAUCUGGCGAGGAUCAAUGACAUCCACCUCGUUCUCGGGGUGACGUGCAAAUUAUCCCAUAACAAAUCUCCUCCUUAUCCUCCAUCUCAAGAAGAAGAUAGUCGGUGUGAUGACAUGACAUUACCGGUUACGCUAUAAUUUUACGAGUUCCCUUGACAAAUGUCACCGAGCAUCUCUUCGAUACAGUGUUUUAUUGGCCCCGCCGAUGCUUUACCUGGUUCCAACGAUUAUAAAUUGGGUUCCAAUUAGUUAACUCGCACAAUAAUUAGUUAGUCUUGUUAGGAGGUUGUUUGACUCAGCCCACAAUGGUGAGAUUGUGAGUUCCACCUUUGACAAAAAUAUUAUUAAAAAGUUACUUGACUGAAACCAUAAUCACCCAUGUACACGAGGGAAAAACUCAUCUUCGCAUGAAAGCGGCUCCUCUAUCGUGCCCUACCGCCGUUGGGUCACUGACAUGCGGGCCAGGGUCUCAACGGGCCCACAUGUCAGUGGUGGAACGGCAAGGUACCGUACGUCAAACGAGGAUCGUCCGUCUUCACAUACAUGAGAAAAAUCACAGAAAGAAAACCGAAAGAAAUAUCUAGGCGAGAGAGAGAGGAAGAGCGGAAUCGUUCGACCAGAGCACGCCGGAUGAGAUGAGGCGGCUCUAGCUCAAACGUUCAUCAAAUAUAUUUGGCAUUUAGUAAUUCUCUGAUGAGUUGAUGAUAAAUAUAGUGAAGCAGAUGGAUAUGCUCCGUUAUCUCACAAGAUACAAACAGUAAAAAAAAGCACUUAUUUCCAUAUUAUUGACCAAAUAUUUGGUUUUGCUUCUUAUUCUUUGGAACGAGAGGGGGCUGUAGGGGCCUGCCUUUAACAAGACAAUAUGUACUUGACAUGUAGGUACACCAUGCCCGUAGUAGGUCUAGAUUUUUUUUUUGGAGAAAGCAAAGUACUGCCCCCUGUGGUCUGUGGUGUGCCCACUUCUUGCUGCAUGCAUGCCCUGCUGCUCUCUGCCCAUAUUUUUCAGUUUUCCCUCUUUCCUCAGUUCUUCUUCCUCACCUGUCUGUCUGUAGUCUGCUCCUCUCCACCAAAGGACAAAACAACCAAAGCUGCAUGGUUCUUGUACUAUUACAGUAUUAUUUUGCUCUGGUUCUAGUUUAAAAUAAAAUAAUUCAGGGACCCACACGCAUGCUUCCGUGUGCUUAGUCCAAAGCCCCAGCUGUGACUUGGAUUACCCAUGCCCCAAAUGGUGAUUAGACUUAUUAUACCAUGGAAGCAGGCAAUGACAAACAAAUGAUUUGUGGAGUGGUUGGAAAGGUUUGAGGGAAGCAGCACAUGGAGAGAAGACUUGUGUAUGUCCCUCUUCCCCCGGUCCUCCGCCCCUUGGUUAGGCAAGGGAGCUUGUUUCACAAAAGCUUUAUCACUGGCAGGUGGGUCCAACUGAGUUGCCAUAGAUUGGGCCUAUGUGUCAGCCGCUGUGAGCGAGGGAACGAGUUUGAAUGUGUGCAAGUGCUUUUCUGGUCAUUAGGUGUAGGUGGGUGUACUACUUAAGUUGGGUUCCAAGUUGUAGGUGACUUCUUGUGAGUUGUAACAGCAAGAGUAGGACUAGGAGGGACAGAGAAAGCACUGAUGUGGAAAUACAGUGCCAAUCAACGCACAUCAUGGGAACACUGGUCAAGGCAUUGGUCCUUUCAUGUUUUUAUAAAUCAAGCGUGCCAAUUUCCCUCACACGUAUUGCUCAUGUUUAGGCCAUGCGUUUUCUCGAAGCCCAUCCUGGAUCAUCUUUGGGAAGGAGUUUUUAGACGAACUCAUUUCUUUUACGAGAAUUUUUUUAAUUUAUUCAUCAAUUAUGGCAGUACAGAGAACACUAGAAGUAAUAAUUUAUUUCUCAAAUUUUAGUGUGAAAUACAUGUGCCAUCUAAUUGACGACUUGAAUGGUACUUAUUAGACUAACUCUAGCAGAAUCAUCAUCUCUAUCCAAUCAGUAUAAUAACCGUCAGUUUGAUGAUUUUUGUCGAAUUGGACGGUCUAAAAGAGUCGUCAUCCCGUUCUGGAUUGUCGUAAAUACUUUUUUGCAAAAAUAAUCUAGAUUUAUUAUCGAAAUUCAUCGGAAGUAUAAAACAUCUCAAACAUAUAAAAAUUACAUUGAGAUUCUGAGACCACCGACCAACCACUGCCAUCGUCAAAAUGAGCCGCCGACGCGCCGCUGUCGUCGCUCCUCUACCGGAGCCGGGAGGUCUUCGUGCACGUGCCCCUAAGGACCAACACCCUGGAGCUGCAUUCAUCGCCGUUCAACCCUUAAAUAUAUCUGAAGCACCUGACACCAAAUCUCGUUACACGACGAGAAACCAUAACCGUAAUUUAUAGAAGCUGCUCCAAAUCGAGCCCACAAGCCUCCAUAUUUGGAGAUUGUGUGGCAUUGCUUUGGAGCGCACACACACCAUCACAAACUACUUGUGCGGGAGGGAAGUUNNNNNNNNNNNNNNNNNNNNNNNNNNNNNNNNNNNNNNNNNNNNNNNNNNNNNNNNNNNNNNNNNNNNNNNNNNNNNNNNNNNNNNNNNNNNNNNNNNNNNNNNNNNNNNNNNNNNNNNNNNNNNNNNNNNNNNNNNNNNNNNNNNNNNNNNNNNNNNNNNNNNNNNNNNNNNNNNNNNNNNNNNNNNNNNNNNNNNNNNNNNNNNNNNNNNNNNNNNNNNNNNNNNNNNNNNNNNNNNNNNNNNNNNNNNNNNNNNNNNNNNNNNNNNNNNNNNNNNNNNNNNNNNNNNNNNNNNNNNNNNNNNNNNNNNNNNNNNNNNNNNNNNNNNNGACGGGCAAACGACUAUCUCACCGGGAUGUAGGACCGUUAGCGGCAAUUUUCACCACGUUUCCCGCCGACCGUGACUAUAAAAAGGUCGUUGACAUGUCCCACCUAGCUCAUAUCCCUCUCGCCACCCACAGCCUCGACUCCUCCCUCUCCUGCCACGGUCUUUCACAACCUCACUUCCUCAUAAUCCCGAAACACACAACAUUGUUCAAAAUAAUACUAAGGCGUCUCACCUAAUGCUUGGUAUAAUUUUAAACAACUAUGAUAUGAAAAAAGUUGUUAACCGAGCACCAUCGCCAAAAUUAGUACCCCACCGUCAAAAGUACACCCAUGAGGACAAAUCCAUGGUCUCCAUCCGCCUCGUGCUUGCACUCAGUUCCCUCCUUGCCCUCGUCAUCGUGUUCGUGAUUGUCCUCGCCCUCGUCGGGUUUGUGACCGAUGGUGUCAACCUUGUCCCCGUCAUCGUGCUGUGAUGCAUGUGACUAGCGGCUGCUGAGGCAGCAAUCAUGUUGUGGUCACCGGCGACAACUUGGCGUGCGCGCCAUGCCGUGGGCGUCGCCGACCUGUUGAUGUGAGUGGGGCGAAGUAGAAGGUGGAAAUUUUGAAAAUAAGUACGUGCACAAUAACAUAUGAGUCCCAUAUGUAAGAAAUUUAUGAAGACUAAGAUAUGACGACUCUGAAUUUGCACGUCGUGUGUCCAGCCUCGAGAACAUUAUGGAGUGGAGCUUUAUAAUAUAGCAACCCCGAAUAUGACGACUAUGCUAGAGUUGCUCUUACAUCGGAGUGAGACGCAUGGAGUGUGUUUUUUUCCUAGCACAAGUUUGAUAAGUGAGGGUCUCAGUAACUAGUGGCCUGUGGCAAAGUUGAUGAUGCUCAUUUUAUUGUGGGGCAAAUGGCAAGGUUUUGCAGGCAGCAUACACUUUGCCUAGGUAUCCUUUGUUUUGUUUUUCCAACAUGCUCAUGUGCAGUGCCCCAAAGAAACAGAAAUCCUUGCUUAUGUGUAGCAGUGCUGUGCAGGGCAUUGUGCUUAAUCAGCACAAGAUGCCACGGAGAGGAAAGGAAAUGAAAGCAUGUAGGCAGGGCCCCCUCAACACUAGUAGUAACACUGUGAGAGCGAUCGCUUGCCUCGAGGUCAAAGCCUACAAAAGUCCAAGCAAGAGACUACUGGGGCUAAAGCUCUUUGCAAUCCGAAUAUGUUUUCAGGCUUGCAUGGUUAACGUUGGAGUUGUUUACGGUUGCUUUGGCACCUUCUCAUCGCGUACGUUCGUAGAUUACAAGGGACGUCGUCCUCAUGCUUUCAGCCGUUCCCGAUGCCCGGGUCAAUCGCAAGGCUCAUCCCCACCAUCCCAGUUUUGGUGACAUGGCCGGGUCGGGUGUCUGCCCUGCUUAGCAUUUCUUUUUCAACAAAGGGCAAUAUACAUCAUUUUUGUAGGAAAGGAAAAUUUAUUACUCAAAUAGACUUGUUAGACAAUGCCUGUAAUCUCAUCCGCAUAUAAUAAUAUCAAGACCAUAUCAAUUCCACCAAACCUCUGCAACAACACAAUAUCGAGCCAAGUUGAGACAAUUUUUUUAUUCUUGUCAUUGCUCCUCCCUCGUCAGAGCCGGGGAAACAUUGUUGUAGUAAACAGUCAGGAAGUCGUCGUGUUAAGGCCCCACAGGACCAGCGCGCCAGACAGUAAUCAUCGCCGAUGAAGAGAAUCGUAGAUCGGAAGGAUCCAACAUGCAGAUACACAGAAAUAGACGGACGAAGACCGGAUCCACUGAAGGCAAACGCCGACCGGAUCCCACGAGAUCCGCAGGAGACACACCUCCACGCUCCAUCCAACGAUGCUUGAAGCAUCACCAGGACGGGGGCUAGGUCGGGAGAACCUUAUUCCAUCUUCAAGAAGUCGCCACCGCCUUGUCUUCUUGAGCAUGGCACAAACCCUAACAAAACUUAGAAAACACCUAAAACGGAGCCCUCUCGGGCAAGGGCCGGGAUCCACCGCACCUCCGUGGUCCAAGGACCAUAGGAGACGAGGCGGGUCGACGGUGGUGCCGGCGAGAGGCAGGGAAACCCUAGAAUAGAGUUCACAUGAGGCCACAAGAAAACAACCUACACAUGAUAACUAAUUAAGCAAGUAAUAACAACUACUCCCUCCCUUCCUAAAUAUAAGUCGUUUAAGAUAUUUCAAUACGAACUACAUACAGAUGUAUAUAGACGUAUUUUAGAAUGUAGAUUAACUUAUUUUGCUCUAUAUGUAGUCAAUAUUGGAAUCCCUGAAAGUGCUUAUAUUUAGGAAUGGGGAGAGUAGUAAAGUUACGUUUAGAAACAACCGAAAGUGAUGGGGACAAAGAUGUAAUUUGAAGUCCACACUCCUGGGAAAUGUUAAUCUAUAUUGAAGAGGUGCGGCACAACGAAUUCUCCUACGAAAACGAAUGUCCAGAGCCGGUCAUGAGGUUUCGGUGGCCCGGGCGCCUCAUUAUAAAGGUCAAAAUAACAAUCCAUAUGCAAUAUCUAAUACGUGGAUAAAUUAUUUUAUACUUAUUACCAUAAAAUUUUCUUAUAACAUUCCAAACUGCAAAGGUUGAUGAUGAUGGUAUCAAUAUUAAUGUGAUCUAACAAUUGCUUCUCAAUGCAGAAGUUGGUCUAAAGGAAUCUAACAAUACAUUUACUAUGUGAUUCCUCAACUCAUGUUCUUUUUUUCCUUUUUUUCCUCUAUCAAAUAUAUACUCGUUAGAUGAUGUGACAUUUUUUAAAGAAUGGUUAGUAAUUAGACCUAGCUCAAAGCUAAUAAAAUCAUAAAUUUAUCGUGCAAAAUCAAUUAGUCAUGACAAAAUAGCAUAGACAAACCCGUCUAAGAAAGAUGUCGAUCGGAUCCAAACAGGAUCACUGAAGACCAAUGCCGACCGGAUUCAAGAAGAUUGCCGGAGACACCUCCACACACCCUCCGUCGACACUAGGCGCACUGCUGGAGUGGAAAUAGGACAUGAUGAGCAUAAUUUAAAUCUAGGUCGCUGCCUGGCCGCCCUAAUCUGGACACUAAAACUACCUAAAGCAAGGAUGGGAUCCCUCCCACCAGCGCGCGCGGGGUGGGGGGAGGGUCCACCGCACCUCCAAGGACCAUAUGUCCGUCGGAGGGAGGACGGACCGGCGGUGGUGCCGGGGGCAAGAGAAAUUGCUUGUGGAAGGAGAGGGAACGUUUCAUACUAUGGCCAUAGAAACAGUAUAGAUUUGAUGACCUCCCUCCAUUCUUAAAUACUAUGAGUCUUUUUAGAGAUUUCAAUAUGGACUACAUAUGAAGCAAAAUGAGUGAAUCUACACUCUAAAGUAUGUCUAUAUACAUCCGUAUGUAAUUUAUAUUGAAAUAUCUAAAAAAAGAUUUAUAUUUAGAAACAGAUGGAAUAGUACAAUAUGAAUGCUUAUUUCUAAGAUCGAACCAUCACUCUACUCAUCAGCUGAUAAUUUAGCAUCUCUUGCUGCGUGCGGUAAUAAUAAUAGGACUAAUCCACCCAAUCAUUGUGAGCACCAAAACGCAUCCAAAAACCCCUUUGGCUUGUGAUGUGACCUCCAUUAUUUUUCCCUCCCUCCUUCCCAGACGACUCUCUUUCCUUGCCUUUAAAAGUCCAUCUCUCCCGGUCUCUUCCGAUGGCACAAGUUCGUACUGCUUGCACACCCACUACAGUCUCGGUGUAUCGUCUCACUUGUCUUUACGUGCCAAGCCCAGGAGUUUCCCCUUCUUUUGCUUUCCUUCCCUUUUUUCUUCUUUACUUCCAGAAAUUUCUACUCUUUUCCAUAAAUCCUUUUUAGGGAACCUUCCUUUAUGUAUGCAUACAUGAAAGAGGGAAUAUGUCUACACCAAAAGAAAAGUUAAUAAAGAAAUUAUACUCGCACCGCUCGUUCGUCCUUUCUCCUUUUGUUAACAGUGCCCUUUUGUGUGUGUGUGUGUGUGGAGGCAGGGAGGCAGGCUGGUCCACCAUGGAAUUAGAAUGAGUAAAAGUCAAAUCCAUAUUGCACCAUGCCAACAAGGCUGCCGAGUCAUCCUAUCACCCCUUUCUUUUCAUGCUUUGCCACUCGUACUUUUUCCCUCACUCACAUGCAUCUACAAGAUUGAUCACAUGGAUUCUAAUCAUGUCUAUUACUACUAGAACUCUAAUUGAUUCGGCCUAGCCUCUUGUGUAUUUCUCUUUGUUUUCCCGUUUUAUUGAUGUUAUUUACUGAUGCAUGAGAAUACAAGUGAAUAAAUUGUAGAGUACGGCUGAAAUGUGUGGUCAAAUCAACAGUUCACAAUCAACCCUAGCCGUCGCCGCCGCCCUCACUCUUCUACCCACCCGUUGCCGUCGGAGGACGCUGGUGGACAAAGCCCACUCGGCCGACGGUUGCGGCGGAGUUGCCUUCUCACGCAGGGGAGCGCUUGCUGACCAUACGACAUGGUGGCCCCGGACGGUGUGGCGUACACAAUGGAACUUGGACGUCGAGACGACGACCACGGGCACUCUAGGAGGUGUCGAGCUGCGGUGCUAGGUGGCCAGCGGUGCCGGGCAUGGACAACUUUCGACAAUCAGAUGUAGCAGUGAACCAUUGGCGACUGUUAGAGUCCAGGACACCGACGGCAUCUCAUCUUGGAGUACACACAAAGAUAUUACCAGAUCAAUAGCUUCCAUGUAUGGUUACGGGCUUGUGUUGUAAUUAAACUCUGUAAUCAUCUCAUGCUAUAAAAUAUAUGAGGAGGCUUGCCGAGGCUGGCAUUGAGCCGCCCGGUAUUUUCCCUAUUGCAUGGUAUCAGGCCGAUCGGUCCUCUCCUACCUCAAACUCGAUCGCACACCCUAAUCGCCCUCCUCACCGCCGCUACUUCCCUCAGCCUCCACCCUCCCUCUCACCAUGAACGCUGACGAUCUGAAGAAGCUUGAAGAGGAGCUGAAGAACCGCGAGUCCAUCGUACGGGCUCGUGAGGAAGAACUCAAGCGUCUUGACGAGGAAAAAGGAAAAACUGUCCUCAUCCGUGCUCCGGCACCCUCGUCUUCCGCCGCCUCCAUCAAGAUGUAUGUUCCCAUCACUCUGGAUCUUUCGGACUCCAACUACGUCAAGUGGCGUGAGCUGUUUCUCGUCGCCCUCGGACGCUACGUCCUCUCCAACCACGUCGUCGGCGACGCCGCCGCCACUCCGUCCGACACUUCGCCUACCUCCGAUUGGGGGCGAGACGACUUCACGGUGCUCUCCUGGAUAUACGGCUCGAUCUCCAUCGAGCUUUUUGGCAUCAUCAUGGCUCCCGGCUCCACGGCGCGGCAGGUCUGGGACUCCAUCGCCAACCUCUUCCAUGACAACAAGAAAAGCCGCGCCCUAGCACUUGAUGCCGAGUUCCGCAACACACCUCAAGGAGACAUGUCCAUCCACGACUACUGCGCCAAGCUCAAGUCUCUUGCCAAUGCUCUCAGCGACGUCGGCCAGGACAUCACCGAUGAGACUCUCGUCCUCACAGUGCUUCGCGGUCUCAACGAACAGUUCAACCAUCUUCGGUCUUUUCUUCCGUUCCAACUGUCGUUCCCUUCGUUCUUGCAGACGCGUUCCGCGCUCGUCCUCGAGGAAACGCAGAAGAAGACGGACGCCAAAAAUGCGGCCGCUACGGCGUUAUGGGCAAGCGGCAACAGCGUUCUCCCUCAGGCUGGCGGAGAGCGUGCUCCUACUCGUGGACAUGGUGCCGGCUACAGCAGCAACGACUCUCGCACUGCCCACUCCCACCCCAUCGUGCCCUACACCAACUCUGGCCGUGGUGGUGGAAGCAGCGGCCGCCGCGGGCAUGCCGGCGGCCUCUGAUGCAGCCGCGACAACCCAUGGAUGUUCAAUCCAUGGACAGGCCUCCCGACUCGUGCGCAACAUCAACAACAGGCUCCCAUCAUGUCGUCCCAGCCUUGGUGGCGUGCUCCCAACGCCGGUGUUCUGGGCCCCCGACCCAGUCCUGCUCCUGCUUCCUUUCAGGCGUAUGCUGCCUACAGCCCCCAGCACACCAACAACAACCCCAUGAUGCCGUCUCCAUCUGCUGGCUAUCCAGAAGGCCAACAACAGCCGCAGCUUGAUCCAGCACUCCUCAAUGCACUACAGAACAUGCAUCUCCCCGGACAUCAAGAGUGGUACAUGGAUUCUGGGGCGUCCUCUCACAUGGCAUCUGAUCACGGUAUACUUUCCUCCUCCCAACCCUCCUCUGCUCACACCGUCACCGUUGGUAAUGGUGCAUCUCUUCCGAUCUCACACAUUGGCUCACACACACUACCUUCUCUUUCUAAACCUUUAUAUCUUAACAAUAUUUUUGUUGUUCCGCACAUCAUAAAAAAUCUUCUUUCUGUUCGAAAACUUACCACCGACAAUUUUGUUUCAAUCGAAUUUGACCCUUGGGGUUUUUCUGUGAAGGCACUUCCUACCAGGAUCGAGAUUCUUCGAUGCAAUAGUCCCGGCCCACUCUACUCCGUCUGCCGCCCCACACCACCCGAAGCACACGUCAUCACCACCACCCUCGACCUUUGGCAUCGGUGACUUGGACAUCCCGGUCACCACACUAUGAAGCGUCUUCAGAGUUCUCAACUUAUCUCCUACAACAAAGUCGUGCCGCCCCUUUGUCAUGCUUGUCAACUUGGGUGACAUGUUAGAUUACCGUUUUACUUUUCUGUUUCAUCCACUAGCAAACCUUUUGCUUUAUUACAUUGUGAUCUUUGGACCUCUCCAAUUCCUAGUACGUCCGGAUUUGUCUGUUAUCUUAUUAUAGUUGAUGAUUUUACUCAUUAUUUUUGGACGUUCCCGCUACGCAAGAAAUCGGACGUGUAUGCUACUCUUCUUGCUUUUCAUGCCUACGCCCGCACACAAUUCGAUUUAUCUAUUUUAGCCUUCCAAUGUGAUAAUGGACGGGAAUUCGAUAACACUAAAAUAGAUACAUUCUGUGCCACCCAAGGUAUCCUUCGUCGCUUCUCAUGUCCAUACACUUCCCAACAAAACGGCAAGGCCGAGCGAGCCAUUCGAACCACCAACAAUGUCAUUCGUACUUUGUUAGUUCAAGCCUCUCUUCCUCCAUCCUUUUGGGCUGAAGCACUACACACUGCCACCUUCCUCAUAAAAAUACGGCCAACCUCUUCCAUCAAGUUUCUCACACCAUAUGAAACUCUUCUUGGCUCACCACCUUCAUACGACUCUCUUCGUGUCUUGGGUUGUCUUUGUUAUCCCAACACUACAUCUACCUCUCCCAACAAACUAUCCCCUCGCUCUACCAAAUGUAUAUUUCUUGGCUACCCAACACGUCACAAAGGCUAUCGUUGUCUUGAUCUAACCACAAGGCGAAUCAUUAUAUCUCGCAAUGUUGUUUUUGACGAGUCAUCCUUUCCCUAUGCACCACUGCCAUCUCCUUCCCCACCACGGUGCACUGAAAUUUUUGAUCCACCAGAACCUGUACGUGUGCUCGCUCCCACCUCUAUGCAUGCCCCUAUUAUGCAUGCACCCACUAUGCAUGCACCUAGUAGCCCCCCAUCCACACCCCCCUGUUCCAACCAGCCUUCUACACAACCUGCUGCUAGUCCACCCGCUAACACUCCCUCCUAUUCCUCCUCUCCCAACGGGUCACAACCAAGCCCACCUCCGGUGGCCUCCCCAGUUCCCGUACCACCACAGCCCACGCCCAUCAUCCAUCGCACACGAUCUACAACUGGCCGACUUCCUCCACCCAUCGACCGGCUUAAUCUAUCAGCCAUUGCCUCUUCCCCUAUCCCACACAACUAUCUCACGGCAUUGCGUGAUAUUAACUGGCGUCAAGCAAUGCAAGAAGAGUUCGAUGCUCUCCUCCUAAACCAAACAUGGACACUUGUCCCUGCUCCUCCUGGUGCAAAUAUUGUGAGCGGAAAGUGGAUCAUUCGCCACAAAUACCAUGCUGAUGGCUCUCUUGCUCGUCACAAAGCUCGUUGGGUCGUUCGUGGUUUUUCUCAACAACCCGGCGUGGAUUUUGAUGAAACCUUCAGUCCAGUUGUUAAACCCGCAACCAUUCGCAUUGUACUCUCCCUUGCUAUAUCUCAAUCUUGGCCCAUUCACCAACUAGAUGUAAAAAAUGCUUUUCUUCAUGGUCAUCUCGAUGAAGUUGUCUAUAGUCAGCAACCCUCCGGUUUUGUUGAUCCUCAUGAGCCCACUCAUGUAUGUCGCCUACAUAAAUCUCUAUAUGGUCUCAAACAAGCUCCUCGUGCAUGGUUUCAGCGUUUUGCCGCGUUUGCUCGCACUAUUGGGUUCACUGAAUCCAAAUCUGAUGCCUCUCUUUUUAUCUUUCACCAUGGCACCAAUCUCACAUAUCUUCUUCUUUAUGUCGAUGGCAUCAUUCUUACAGCCUCCAGGUCGUCUACUCUAGCUACUAUCACCAACGCAAUGACACGCGAAUUUGCUAUGAAGGAUCUCGGCCCCCUACAUCACUUCCUUGGCAUCUCUGUCACACAUACAUCCACUCGAAUUCAUCUCUCUCAACGUCCAUACAUUCUUGACAUCUUGUCUCGCGUUGGCAUGCGCGAUUGUCAUCCAGUCACCACCCCUAUUGACACCAAAGCAAAGCUCUCUUCCACCUCCGGGUCCUCUGUUGCUGAUCCUUCUUUGUAUCGUAGCUUAGCUGGCGCUCUCCAAUAUGCUACCCUCACUCGCCCUGACAUUGCUUACGCGGUCCAACAAGCAUGUCUCCAUAUGCACGAUCCACACGAUCCACAUCUUUCUCUCAUCAAAUGUAUUCUUCGAUAUCUCAAAGGCACCCUCGAUCAUGGUCUUUCUUUGCAUCGUACUUCUUCACACUCUCUUAUUGCCUACUCCGAUGCCGACUGGGCUGGAUGCCCGGAUACACGACGCUCUACAUCCGGAUUCUGCAUGUAUCUUGGGGACAAUCUCAUUUCAUGGUCAGCACGAUGACAGACCACUGUCUCACGCUCCAGUGCGGAAGCAGAAUAUAGGGCAGUUUCCACAGCCGUCUAAGAGUCAUGUUGGGUACGGCAACUCUUACAGGAACUUCGACGACCGAUAUCAAGUGCCACCAUUGUCUAUUGUGACAACGUCAGUGCUGUAUACUUGUCCGCUAACCCUGUUCAGCAUCGUCGGACCAAACAUAUUGAACUGGAUAUUCACUUCGUUCGGGAGAAGGUCGCACUUGGCGACGUUUGCGUGUUACAUGUGCCCUCCUCCUCUCAGUUUGCAGACAUCUUCACAAAGGGCUUACCUACUGCUCUCUUUCAAGAGUUUCGCUCCAGUCCUCAGGUCGAGUCAUCUCCCAGUUCAGACUGUGGGGGCGUGUUAGAGUCCAGGACACCGACGGCAUCUCAUCUUGGAGUACACACAAAGAUAUUACCAGAUCAAUAGCUUCCAUGUAUGGUUACGGGCUUGUGUUGUAAUUAAACUCUGUAAUCAUCUCAUGCUAUAAAUAUAUGAGGAGGCUUGCCGAGGCUGGCAUUGAGCCGCCCGGUAUUUUCCCUAUUGCAGCGACAACUCGACGGCCUAGUCGACGGUGGCAACACCAAUGUGGUAGCACACAAAGUGGUGCGUCAAUAAGCCGGGGUGGUGCGCCUACAGCCUGAGGCGGCCACAUAGUUGACACCAUGCCUCGGCGUCGUUGUCGUCGGCGACCUCUGGCACAUUUGCCCUGGAGCACGUGCAUGUGAGUUGAAGUUGCCAACGACGUUUGGCUCUCCACACUCUGGGAUCGUUCUCUGUUCGGAAGUAUGGAUUUGGGCGCAUGGUGAUAUCCAUGCCAAAGGUAUGCAGGUGAGCGAUUGCCUCUCGACAUGUAUGUCGUGGAGUGAUUUAUUUCAGUUUCCAUGACCAUGGUGUAUUUGCCCCUCCAUGCCAAAGAUAACUUUGGCUUGGUGGUAGGGGUGUUGAACUUCGAGGUGAAAACCCAUGGUCCGACAUUCGAUGGUCGCACCUUGCCAGGACGGUGUUUACUCAUGGUGUCUUUGCUGAAGACAUUGUUUUGGAGUUUGCUCAGACGUGCUCGAUGGGGUGAAGAUAUGGCAAUGUUUCCUUGAUGCGUUGCUUUUGAAGAACCUUAGUUGUAGAGUUGUGCAGCCCUAUUUUCUCGUCUGGGGGCAAAUAACUAAUUUUCUUUCAAUCUGAGCACCCUCUAAAAACAUUCUUCGUCAUAGUUUUCUACUGUAUUUUGCCCAACGUCGGAACAUUUCCUCCCGUAGUGCUCGACCCCAACCUCAUUAUUAGUCAUGGCACAUGAACACAGACAUUCCAUCAGUUUUAAUGCCAACGCAGUAGUAGUAUGCAGCACACAAUCAAGGCACCAUCAUCAGAGAGAACAAGUGAUCAAGGUUUAUCCACAUUUAUUUAGAUAAAAUGAGAAGCCAGCAAGGGGGGCAUUAAUCAAUGCAGAUGUAGAUAGAGCUCAUGGGAAGUGGGGAAUUGCAUUCAUGGCGCCGUCGUAGAGAGGGAGCAAGCUGAAGAUGGAGCAAACUUGCCCUGCCGCCUACCUUGUCCCUCCUCCAUGAGAAAUGCUACUCCAAGAACCAUCAAUGGCUAAUCUCCCUACCUCCUCCCCCCUACAGGAACCGUCUUUCUCCAGCCGCAUUGCAAAAUUACACCUUUUCUACUUCUCCCCCCUGGCCGGCUUCUCAUUACGGCCUUCCCUGAUCGCCGGCUAUUGUUCUACGGCGAGCUAUAGGUAGUAGCUAGUCCGGCGCCGCGGGGCGGAGUUGGCAUCUAACGCCAGGCGUCGCGGCUCUCCUCGUCUGGUGGAAGCAUCGCCGUGGCGGUGGCGCGCUUGAGCGGCCGGCCGGGGGGCUCUGGGGAGGACGACACGGAGACUGACCCCGGCCACGCAGUGGCGGCGCCGGAGCGUGAGUCCGCGCUGCUGGACGAGCUCUCGCAGCUGAAGUAUGCCGCCGCGCCGAUCACGCCGCUCGGGCUCAGCGGCGGCGAGUGCAGCCCCGCUGCCGCGCGCUUGCGCUUAUUGUCGCCGCCGAAGCCAAUGAAGCCCGCCGCGACCUCCCCGGAGAGGAUCUUG
Molecule: long non-coding RNA, 71766 nt
Filed under: Triticum aestivum (bread wheat)
Lineage: Eukaryota; Viridiplantae; Streptophyta; Magnoliopsida; Poales; Poaceae
Description: long non-coding RNA (TAES_LNC008745)
Source: RNAcentral